This 58093-nucleotide long non-coding RNA is filed under the name Solanum lycopersicum (tomato). RNAcentral describes it as "long non-coding RNA (SLYC_LNC000392)". Lineage: Eukaryota; Viridiplantae; Streptophyta; Magnoliopsida; Solanales; Solanaceae. The record is from RNAcentral.
CACCGAGUCCCGGGCCGAGUAAUGUUCGUGCUGAGUUUCUUGCAUAUGUCACCGAUUCCCUCACUAGAGGGCCGGGUAUGUAUAUUAUAUAUAUGAUUGGUGAUGAGGAUGGUUAUGAUGAUGAUGAUGACGGAGAUGAUGUGAUGACUAUUUCACCGAGUCCCUCACUAGAGGGCCGGGUACGUAUGAUGUAUAUAUAUAAUGAUUAUUUUGCCGAGUCCCUUACUAGGGACGCCGGGCACCUUAUAUGUUAAAGAUAUGCAUGAUUUUCACUUAAAAGGUACAUGUGUAGUGAUAUCUUGUUUCGACUUAUCAUGUUGGUAUCCUGUCAUCUUUACCUUAUGCUUUACAUACUUAGUACAUUCCCCGUACUGACCCCCUUUCCUCGGGGGGCUGCGUUUCAUGCCCGCAGGUGUAGACGCACAGUUCGAUGAUCCUCCCGCCUAGGAUAUCUUCUCUGCUGAUUGGGCGAGCUCCAUUGUUCCGGAGCCCAGUCGUUUUGGUACAUAACUUUCUGUGUAGUCUUUUGCUUGUCUAUGGGUAUGGCGGGACCCAGUCCCGUCGAGUUUCACUGCUAUACUCUUAGAGGUCUGUAGACAUUAUGUGGGUUGCAUAUAUAUGUUUUGGAGAAUGUUCUGGACAUGGUUUGUUUUGGAUGUCCGCUUGUAUAGGGCCAGCCUUGUCGGCUGCAUACAUCAUUGUGUAUUGUGUAGUGGCAGCCUUGUCGACUUGCGUAUGCUAUUAUGCUUUGGAUAGUGGCGGCCUUGUCGGCUCGCGUAUGUUGUUACGGUUGAAUGGUUAUGACUCCUUAUGAGACAGAUCCACUUUAUAUAUAUAUGACGUUAGGGUUGGCUUGAUUUGAUUAAAUUCCAUAUUAUCUUAGUUUCAGUUGGUUAUACUUAACAGAUUUGUAUGUGAGUGUCCAAAACAGGCACUAGUCACGGCCCAUCGGGUUGGGUCGUGACAGGAUCAGCAUAACUAACUCACUUUUAUCGCAAUAUCACGGUGAACAAUUGGAAUGCAAAAGCAAUGUGUGCAAGGUGCUUGAUGAAUCGUCUGAUAUGCACAAACAUGCAAAUUCUCUCGGUAAAUCCAGCAAGCCUGUUGAGCUUUUCAUUCCCCCCUAAUGAUAUGGUAAAUUCUGUCUCCAAAUUUUUUGUGAUACAUAGAUGUGCUGAUUAUGUUAAAAAGGAAGACACGAAGGAUGAUAAGAGGAAAUUUUUACCAUCAGAAACGAACCUAUAGAAUUUGUUAUUGAAAUACAUGUAAACCUUCAUUCUGGAAUAAUUUUAUAGUAUCUAUUUCCUAUGACCUAUCCAUUUUUGAUAUUCACAAAGCUUUGGAUGAUCUUUGGAAUAAAUUAUUCACUAUACACUACAAAAAAUUCUACCCUGUUUGGCUUAUUCAGCGUUGGAAGUAGAUCCAUUCUAUUCCUUCCACUUUCAGUUAUUCCAAGCUUACGGGCAAAGUUACUAAUGGUGGUCGGGACUAUGUUGGCUGCUUUAUCAUGUAUACUGAAUUUUCUAAAUGUGAUAGUUAUGAUCAUCUUUCAGGUUUCAAAGCAAUUUAGUUGAAAAGAGUAUAAUUUUACAUGUACAGGAUCCUGGUAUAUACAAACUGCUUCUGAAGUUGAAUCGUUUGAAUGGUAGCAAUUUUUUCCACAGCCAAACUCGAGACUUUUUAUGAAUGCAAAGCAAUUUAAGAGGUGUGUACUAACUGUGCAUAAACGAGAAUUAUUUCUUGAUGGUGGUGGAAUUGUUAAUUUGUUCCAGAUAUAUUGCAUCCAAGUGAAUCCUCAUAUAUUUGGAAUACAUGUAAAGAAAAUAUUGCUCUCUUCUCUCUCAUCUCACUCACCACUCUCAGAUAGAUAUGGUAUCUCAUUAUAUGUGAAUCACUCAAAAUACAUGCACAUAUAUGUAUCUAGUGUGAUUUACAUUGUCUCUGAGAUAGUUACAAGUCUUGCUCACCUAGUUCCCCAAUCUCUCCUCUCUCCUUUUUAUGUACCUUGUAGGAAAACGCAUGUAUCUUUGCAUAAGAUACGUAAACAAUUUUAAAUUAGUGGUAAGAUAAAUAAUAUUUUGGCAUUAUGGAUCAUUAUAAUAUUUAUAGUAGUGAAUUAUAUGUCUAAUUAUAUAGUUUUCGAAUAUUUUUAAAUAGCGUUGACCGUACAUUUUGAGAGUAGAUUUUCAAAAUUAACCUUCAAAUAUUCAUUGGACUAUAAAAUUUGACUAGAUUUUCAAAUUUUGGUUUUCAAAUAUUUUGAAGUUCCUAACACCAACUAAGAUUUGUUUUUGAAUUUUAGUAACUUCCAUUCACGAAACUCCAAGAAAUUUUGGGCAAGAAAUUUAUUUUUCUUCUAAUUACUUUAACUUUAUUGUUUACGAUUAUAAUAGCAUAUUAAAAAUUUUCUUAUUAUAUUGAAUGUUUGAAGAUUUUGAUAUAUAGAUUAUUUCAUUUCAAAUUGUGUUCUCACCUACUUUCCUCAAAUUGAUAAAGUCAUUAACAAAAUUAUAAUGUUAAUCUCUUUAAUUUAGAAUGUUUAUUUAGUUUUCUUUAUUAUGAUUAGUGCAAGACUAUAUUCAUUUAAAUAUCUAUAAAAUUAUGUUUUGUUACUUUAAUCUUAACAUAAUGAGAAGAUUUGUUUUCAUUUAUUGUAUUGCAAGAAAUUAAUUACAUCAUUGAGGAUGUUUUUUUAUAAAUAAGCAACACAUUUUUUGGACAACUCAUCUAUUACUAUAUCAUUUUAGAGUCAUGGUAGGGAAAAAGACCCUAGGACGCCAUAAGAUUUCGAUGGCCAAAAUAGAAAAUAAAUAUGAUUUAUACUCAUCAUUUUCAAAGUGUCUGGAAAUUUUAUACAAGAAAGAAACCAAUAUGAUUGGGAAAUAUGACAUUGAUGUGAGAAUAAUCGCAUUUUCCCCCUCUCAUAGUCCCUUCACUUUUUUCCAUCCUACAAUUGAUGCUAUUAUUGAUCGUUUCAUUAGUGCAUUUAACCAAGGAAGUUUAUAUAGUCGCCUUAACGUUGCAAGCACUCGAAUCAGAAACAAGUUUAGCUUGACAAUCUAGAUAUCACUAAAGAGACUUUAGCUAAUCAGAAAACAGACGAGACUGACAUAGAGGAAAUGUAGGAACAAAUAAAGGUAUUUAAUGCAGAGGAUUUGAAAAAAAUAUGAAGUCGAUUGGAUGAGAUUGAUUUAAUGCUGGAAAAUGUUAUUGCUUCUUUUCCACAAGCUCCUCAAGAAAAUUCUAAUUAAGUAUAUAAUGGUUCCUUAUACAUUUGAAGCUUCAUGCAAUGAAAUAAUUUUCUUUUCUAAAACGUUUUUAUUAUAAGUUUUAGUUUCAAUUUUUAUUAUCAAGUUGAUGGUGUUAUUUGAAUUAUUUAGCGGUGAUUUUCAUUUAUGAUGUAAAUUUAAUGAACCGAAAGACUUGAAUUUUUGUAUUGGUUAUGAGUUCAAUAUUUUUUAAUUAUCAUGGUAAGUUUUAGAAUUUUUAACAUAUGUCAAUGAUUUUGAAUAUAUUUAAUGAUACUAUCAUUGUGAAGACCUUAGAUCUUGGCUUUGAACUAAUAAAUGCAAAUUAGUUUUCAGGGUUUUAAUCUAAUCACACACAUAUGAUGUGUUUAGAAAUAAUUAAAAUUUAUUCUUACACGUUUGGGCUAUUUAGAUAUAUCUUUAACGGUUUUUAGGACAACAAUACAUUAAGAAAAUUAAAAAAUCGGAGCCAGAAGGUGAAAUUUAAUUCGAGCAAAUAGGGAGGUCCAUUUAUACUGAGUGUCGUAGAAGAUCUGUCAGGCUAAAGUGUAUCUAGUAGUUGAACUUUAGACUGAGCCAACUAAAGGGUAAAGUCACUUUUUCAAAAAAAAAUAGAACAUCUAAAUUUAAUUGUGAAAUCAAAAUUUUCAUGAUGGCUAAGCUUUCGUAAAUGAACAUUUUGGCCUAUUUUUUUAAAUGAUGAGUGAGUUUUACACCCAUUACUAACAAAUUUGACAAUUUUUUAUAUGUAUUUGUAACAUCUCGCAACUAAGAAGAACAACAAAAGAGUUUAAAAUCUGAAAAUAGUUACUAUUAAAUAUAUAAGGAAAUCUGAAAAUCUUUGAGUAAGCCAAAAAGUGAGUUUUUCACUUAUUUCAAACCACUAUAAGUCCUAACCGAAGAUGAUUUAGGUGUAAUUCCACAUAUGUUUGGAAUUAUGAAUUAUCAUUCCCAUGCCACUAAGUUUGCGCGAUUAGGAGUUCAUAUGAGUGAGUUAUGUCUUUUGGAAGUUGAGUUGUUGGAUAAAGCAAAGUCUAAUCCGGAUUUGGGAAGGAAAAAUUUGUCCUUUUCUUACCUAAUUAUAUAAAUUCGUUUAUAGUGAUUAAUUAGGGUAAAAUAAGACUUCAUUCACUUUAGAAAAAUUUAGAGUUUACGCAAGGGAUUGGAGAAACGAUAAAAGAGGAGAAAUCAAGAAAUUUCUAAUUCAUUCAAGCUUUGCGUGUGGAAUUUGUCGGGGGUGAUCCCUAUAAAGGUAUGCGAGAUCACAUAGUGUUGGGUUAGUUUACCCAUGUGCCAACCAUGUUUCAAUUCAAAGAAUUUAAGUUUUAGUAUGUUAAGAAAUUGAGUUCUUGAAGAACAUCGUUGAAAGUUUCGUUGAAUUCUUGUGGGUUGUUUAGUUGAAGUUUAUUGAGGUUUGAUUCAUAUUUUCGACUGUAGUUUUCUUGAAUUUAUCGUAUAUUUAGAGUACUAUUUAUCUUUAGUGUUUGGGGAAAGAACCAUGGAAGUUUAGAACGCCUUGAGAUGAAUAAUGAAGGAGAAAAGUCGGAGUCAAUAGGGAAAAAGGGUGAGGCAUCGCGCUAGUCGGUGUACCCCAAAGAAAUCUCUGUCUAUAGGGCUCUGGGGACGCGCCAGACAGAGCACCCCAACCAAUGCUAUGAAGAUUGAGGGCGAACUCCUCAUGCCUCUUAGAGUUUCGAGGAUGCUAGUUCUCCCCAUUCUUCUUCCAUCUUUUCGUACUAGGUUCCUCAGUGAUUUACCAAUGUUUCCUGGUUGAUUCAAACACUCUAAGGUACAUCUAAACAUAAUUAAAUUAUCUGUAAAUGUGAGAUCAUGAACUCUGAACCCAUAAUCCAAUUUAAGGAAAGUUAAUAUCAAAAUCAUGAGAAGUUAAGAUAAAGUCUAGAAGUUAAGGGCAAGUCAAAAUAAAGUUUAUAAAGUUUUCAAAAGUCUUUCACAAACGUUUUCACUUUGUUCUAAAGACUUAAAAUUCUGGUCGAGUAAAGAGUAAAGGUUGAAGUCAUUUCUUCAAAGAAGUAUAUGGGGACUAUGAUUUCCCAAAGAUUUUAAAAAUAUUUUUCUCAUUUGAGAAAGAAAGGUAACAUCGCUUCCGAAAGGUAACAUCGCCGAGCUUUUAAGCUAUGUUUUGAGUAAUUAUUUGUAACCAAAGAAAGAAGUUGUUUUAAAAAGAUAAGAUCUAAGUAUAUUAUUAGAAGCACCGAUAUGCUGAUGCGAGUUCAUAUCAACUCAAGUUUUCAUAAACCAUGUAGUCAUCAUAAGUAUUAAAGGGUUAUACUUUUUAGAUGAUCACUUAAGUUAAGCUAGUGAAUCAACUAAGUUAUGUAGUUUUGUAUGACGUCAUAGUAUUGAACAGUAUAGCGGGGUGAUGGUAACAAUCUUGAUCACCACUUAGGAUCAUAGAGGUGGUUGUCGGUUAGAGAAACUCCCACAGUAAUAAGUGCAUGGUUCCUCAAGAGAUUCUGCUUAGUUUGAAUGGGGUAUGAUACUUCAUUCAUGCAUUGCACAAGUAGACUUUGAGAGGGAGCAUCCUCUUUUUUUUAUUGCACUUGUUCUAAACUACUUUAUAAUGAAAUGAGUUCAAUUAGGUAUUGAGGAGUUGAGAAAGCCAAGAUAAGUGUUUCUUUCAGAAUCUUCUCAAUCUUAUGGUGUAUUUGGUAUUCUAACUCGCAUACUCGGUCAUUCAAUAUACUGAUGUCAAUUUACCUGGAUUGUCUAAUGAUGCAUACACAAGUAACUAGGAUUAGCACCUAGCACACCAUUGAUCCAAUGAGCAGCUUAGUGUCAGUUGGUGAGCCUUCUUGCAUUCCAGAGGAAUCCUUUUCAUUGUUUACAAUUUUAUUUUUGCAGUUGUUAGGAUGAUUGGGGGUUUUAUCCCGACAUCCAUCUCAGUUAUUCGAGGCUUCAUAGAUAGCUAGUUAUUAGACAUUUGUCUUUACAUUGUCAUUAAUAUGUACUAAUACUUGAGUUGUCAUUUAGCUAUAUUCAAUGUUUAUUUUUUUAAAAAAAGGUUUGAGUCUUAUGAUUAGUUAAGUAAGUCAGGCCAAAGGCUUGCUUAGGGCCAACAAUGGUUCUUGAGUGCCGGCAACGUCCCAGGUGUAGGCUUGGGGCGUGAACAACUUGAUAUUAGAACCUAGAGUUCAAGAGUCCUAGGGAGUGUAUGAAGUGGUAUUUGUAGAGUCCUAGUUAUCAGUGCGAAGCGCGUCACAUCUAUAAUUAGGAGGCUGCAACAGUUAGAAAUUCCUUCACUUCAUUCAUACUUAUUUCGUGUGUUGGAGUUUGACCUCUAAAAGGUUUCCUUCUAAUUUGUGCUUGCACGUGUUUUCAGAGAAUUAUUCCUCCACGAAGAGAAGUCAAAAAUCCUCCAACUAGGAAGAAUAAUGAGGAACAAGAAUCCCAAUACACCUGAAGUGCAACCUCAAUGAAAAGUUACCCAUGCUGAAUUUUGUGAGACUAUCUGAACGUUAUGUCAAGUUUCAACCUAUCAAAUUGGACAGAGAGAUAAUCGACAGGAAAUGGUUGAUACAUCAAAGAUUUGAGAGCUUUUAAGGAUGAAUCCCCCAAGCAUCACAGGUUCAAGUGUCACUGAGGAUCCAGAAAACUUUAUUUGGUGUAAUGCAAUUGUUGAAGCAGAGAGGGUGGAACUGGUUGCAUACCAAAUGAAGGGUGUCGCUGGAAUCUGGUUUGACCAAUGGAAAAAGAAUAGGGUGGAGAAUGCACCGGUAGCGAGUUGGGUUGUGUUUCAGAGUGCUUUCAUGGGGCGUUUAUUUCCUUGUGAGUUGCGAGAGGAAAAUAUAAAAGAGUUUCUCACCCUUAAUCCGGAGUCUGUGAGUGUUCAUGAAAACGGUCUAAAAUUCACAUAACUUUCACGCUAUGCUCCAGAGACGGUUUCUGACAUGAGGAGUAGGAUGAGUUUCUUUGUUCAUGGGUUGUCUUUUUAGUCAAGCAAGGAAGACAAGGCUGCUAUGCUGAUAGGGGAUAUUGACCUAGCAAGACUUAUUAUACAUGUACAACAAGUUGAGAAAGAUAAGCUGAAGGAUAGAGAAGACUUUAAGAAUAAGAGGGUCAAGACAUCAAAUAAUGAUUUUAGGCAACACAAGAGUAAAUACAACUCUCCUACGGAAACAGAAGGGACAUGCUCCACCAUUUGGUAGUGCACCUGCACUUAAGAACAAAGGUGAUUACAAUAGUCAGAAUCCCCAUAGUUUCAAAGCUAAACAUGCGUGUGCUAGGUGUGGUAGAAAACACCAAGGUAAGUGUUGUGAUGGGAAGACAUGUUGCUUCAAGUGUGGUAAAAAGGGUCACUUUAUGAGAGAGUGUCCCCAGAUCUUGCAAAGUCAUGGUAAUAAGGCCCAGCCUUCUUUAGUUGCUCCACAAGACAGAGUUGCAACUCAAGGAGCUGCUUCAGGUACUAGAGGGGAAACAAACCGAUUAUAUCCUAUCAAAAGUCAUCAAGAGAAAGAAAAUUUGCCAGAUGUUUUCACAGGUAUGAUCAAACUCUUUGACUUGCUGUUUAUGCUUUGUUAGACUCAGGGGAGAGCUUAUAUUUUGUUACUCCUUAAGUUGCUUUGAAUUUUGAUGUUAUUCCUGAGCAACUUAGUAAAUCAAUCAGUGUUAGUACACCUGUUAGUGAGUCUAUUCUAUUAGAGAGAGUCUAUCGUGAUUAUAUCAUUUCUGUCAAUCACAAGAAUACCAUGGCUGGUUUAGGUGAGUUAGACAUGGUAGGUUUUGAUGACAUUCUAGGUAUGGACUAGAUUCAUGGCUUUUACGUAGAUUGUAGAACUCGAGUUUGUUCCUUAAGCCAAGGAAGUUAAAGUUAGUUUCUAAGGGGAGUGUCUAUCAUUUACUCCAAGUUAAUGACUCUAGUGUUAAGAUACCUCUUAUUUAGUUAAUUCGAGUAGUAAAAUAGUUUCCAUAAGUCCUUUAAGAUGAUCUUCCCGGAGUCCCUCUUGAUAUACAAAAUAGACUUCGGCAGGGUUGAAAGAGCUUAAAGAACAGCUGAAAGAUAUGUUAGAUAAGGGUUUCAUUCGACCAAGAGUCUCACUUUAGGGCGCUACAAUCUUGUUUGUGACAAAUAAAGAAUAAGUAUCCUCUUUAUCAAAUUGAUAAUACUUUCGAUCAGCUUCAGGGUGCUUCUUAUUGUUAUAAGAUUAACCUCAGAUGUGGCUACCAUCAGUUGAAAGAAAGGGAGUGUGAUAUUCCCAAGAUAACAUCUAGGACCCCUUAAGGUCAUUAUGAGUUUAUGGUCAUGCCAUUUGGUUUCACUAAUUCACUUGCAAUAUUUAUGAACCUUAUGAAUAGAGUCUGUAUACGUCAUUUAGAUAUGUUUGAUAUCAAUUUUAUCUAUGACAACUAAUCUAUUCAAGAAAUGAAGAAGAUCCUUCUAGUCAUCUCAAACUAGUCCUCCAGUCUUUGAAUGACGAGGAGGUAUAUGCUAAGUUCCCCAAAUGCGAGCUUGACUUGAUAUUAUGGCGUUCUUGGGUUACAUAGUUUCCGGUGAUGGAAUUAGAGUUGAUACCAAAAAGAUAGAACCAGUUCAAAGUUGGCCUAGACCCACAUGUUCAACUGCAAUAAGGAGUUUCUUAGGUUUGGCUAGAUUAAAUAGAAGGUUUGUAGAGGGGUUCUCCUAUAUUUCUUCCGUUUUGACCUAUUAACUCAGAAAAGAGUAAAAUAUCAAUGGUUUGAGGCUGGUGAGAAAAACUUUUAGGAAUUGAAAAACAGAUUGACACUUUCCCAAUUUGAUCUUACAAGAAGGUAAGCAAGGCUUUGUUGUCUAUUGUGUUGCGUCUAGAAUUGUUUGAGUUGUGCGUUAAUGUAGAAUGACAAAUUUAUAGCUUUUACCUCCAGGUAGUUGAAAUUUCAUGAGAAGAAUUACCCAAACCAUGAUCUAGAGUUUGAUGUUGCGGUAUUUGUUUUGGAAAUAUUGUGCCACUAUCUUUAUGGUAUUCAUGGAUAUAUAUUCACCGAUUAUAAGAGUCUUACGUGUUUACUUAGAAAGGGCUUAAUCACACACAAAGGAGGUGGCUAAAAUUACUCAAAGACUAUGACAUGAGUAUUCUUUAUCACCCAGGUAAAGCUAAUGUCGUUGUUGAUACUUUAAGUAAAUUCUCAAUGCUUGAAUGAAAGGCAACUGUUCAUAAUUAAAAAGUGAUGGCUUUUGAACCAGGGGGAGAUGCUGUUUUGAGGUAUGAAGAUAGAUUGUGUGAUUGAUUUUAAGGUUUAUUGGGAUAAUCACCUACCUCACAUGGAUUUUUUUACAACAAUAGUUACCAUUCUAAUAUCCAAAUGGAUCCUUAUGAAGCUCAUUACGGGAGAAGAUGCAGAUUUGAUUUUUAAUGGUUCGAAUUUUGUGAAGUAGGGUUGAAAGGACCAGAGUUACUUAAUCAAGCUAUGGAGAAAAUGAAAUCCAUUCAAAAUAGAUUGGAACCAACAAAAACUCAUCACAAAUCCUACAUUGAUGUUAGGAGAAUGUAGUAACAGUUUGAGGUAGAUGAUUGAGUUACUUGAAAAGUUUCACCCAUGAAGGGUGUUAUAAGAUUUGAUAAGGAAGGGAAGAUCAGUGUACAAUAUAUUGGUCCUUCCAAAAUAUCCAAGAGGAUUGACAAUGUAGCUGGUAAGUUAGAGCUACCACAAGAAUUAGUUGUAGUCCAUCCGGUGUCUCACAUCUCCAUCUUGAAGGAGUGCAUGGGAGAUACUGUACUUAUCAUACCAAUUGAGAGGAUAUUGAUAUCACGGAUAGUUUGUCUUAUGAGGAGGUUCCGGUUCAGAACCUAGAUCGCCAAGUUCGGAAGUUGAGAAUAAAGCAAGUAGCAUCGAGUCAAAGUUCUGUGGAGAAAUUAGUUUGUAGAGAAGCUACUUGAAAAUAUGAAGAGGAUAGGAGAAGAGAUACCCUCAUCUCUUCUGAUCCGGCGAAGCUUCAAAUUAAAGGUACUAAUCCUUUUCUUGGCAUUAAUAUUAAGUUGGCUUCUUGAAAUUGCAUUGUGCUUGUUGAGUGUUUAAAUUGUAUAAUUGAUGUGACACCUUUAACCUUGUCACAACCCAACCCGAUGGGCCGUGACUAGUGCCCGUUUUGGACACCCAUAUACAAACCUGCUAAGUAUAACAAACUGAAACUAAGACAAUAUAGAAUUUAAUCAAAUCAAGCCAACCCCAACGUCGUAUAUAUAUAAGAGGACCUGUCUCAUAAGGAGUCAUAACCAUUCAACCAUAACAGCAUACGCGAGCUGACAAGGCCGCCACUAUUCCAAGCAUAAUAACAUACGUAAGCCGACAAGGCUGUCACUACACAAUACACAAUGAUGUACGCAGCCGAAAGGGCUGCCCUUGUACAAGCGGACAUCCCAAACAAACCAUGUCCACACCAUUAUCCAAAACAUAUAUAUACAACUCACAUAAUUUCCACAGACCUCUAAGAGUACAUUAGUGAAACUCGACGGGAAAGGGCCCCGCCAUACCCAUAGACGAGCAAAAGACUACACAAAAGUGAUGUACCAAAACGACUGGGCUCCGGAAUAGUGGAGCUCUCCCAAUCAGCAGAGUAGAUAUCCUAGGCGGGAGGAUCACCAAACUGUGCGUCUACACCUGUGGGCAUGAAACGCAGCCCCCCGAGGAAAGGGGGUCAGUACGGACAAUGUACUGAGAAUGUAAAGCAUAUGGUAAAGAUGACAGGAUACCAAUAUGGCAAGUCGAAACAAAAUAUCGCUACACAUGCACCCUUUUAAGUGAAAAUCAUGCAUAUCUUUAAAAUAUAAGGUGCCCAGCUUCCCUAGUAAGGGACUCGGCAAAAUAAUCAUCAUUUCAUCUCCGUCAUCAUCAUCAUCGUAACCAUCCUCAUCACCAAUCAUAUAUAUAAUAUACAUACCCGGCCCUCUAGUGAGGAACUCGGUGACAUAUGCAAGAAACUCCGUACGAACAUUACCCGGCCCGGGACUCGGUGAAAUGAUAAAUGACUCCAUGCACGAGCAGAAUAUUAUGAGCAACCAUAUGCAAUUAAAAUCAUUUCUUAUAACUCAAUAGAACAAUCAACAUGAACCAACAAGGAGUAUUACCAAAGAUUAAUGUUUUAUCAAGAUUAUGAACCUUUAAUACGAUAUGGAAAUGUAAAAUCUCAAUGACUCUAAGAAGCACUACCAUAGAUAUUAGAGAUCAUCAUAGCCUUAGACAUAGCCGAUAUAUAGAGGAAUAAUUGUGGAAGCAAGAAUAUACGUCACCUAGACGCUCUAGAGGUAAGUAUCAAACCUGUCCGUUAUUCUCUUAUUUUAAAAUGUCAUGCCAAACAAAGAAAGAAGGGACAACGUCACAUACCGUAUAAUCAAGCCGCACGUCCAAUAUUUACUACUCAAGCUAUUAAUCUAUAACAAGCAACAAUCGUGCCGCAAUUAGAUAAACAUCUAGCUUUACUUUCUUGUAAGCUAGCUAAUAAUCUAACGAAAAUUCGGCAGCACUUCCCCUAUUUUCCUUACUUCGUCCCAAUCCGACAACAACCCAAAUUAUCCACAGCAAUACCAAUAACACAUAUAACCCAACGAAUCAUAUUAAACAGCCCCCUCCCCAAAACAGUUCUGUCUCGGCAACCAUAGUAGCGAAGCAACGACACACCGAGCGAUAACUCAUUUUAUAAUUCGCAACACAUCUACCUUAUCGUAUUCAUCCUUUGGAGUAUAUACUCAUAAUCACAUUCAACAUAUACAUAAUGCCAAAACAGAAUUUUCCUUCAGUUUGCUUUAAUCAAAACAACCCAAGCACCAACAUGACACCACUAAUAAUCCAAUUCUGGUUUCCGUUCAUACCUAGCACAUUCAAUAACUAAAACAAACUUCCUAAGCUACUGGUCACGCCCCCUUCUUAAAAUUAAUGGAUAAUUAACAAAGGUAUUCUAAAGAAUUAACACACCAAACAAGGAGAUUACUAACCAAAUUAUUUGCAGCUGCUGGCCAAGAGUUGAAGGGUUGGUUUCUCCAUUUCCAUGGCUGCCUAAGAAAAGUGGUGAAGAAGAAGAUGAUAUGCAGCAAUGCAUUUCACCACUUUAUUUAGCAUGGAGUGGAUUUAUCCACCUCAUUUAAUAGUAUGAAGUGGAGGCAGCCCCCCUCUACACCUGUCUAUUAAGGCCAGCUCACAAUCUGAUCCCUUUUUAAUUUUUGCCUUGAGUGGUGGGUCCCACUUGAUUAAAUUAAUCCUAAUCAGCCACCAAUUAUGAGUGGUAGGCCCCAUUUGAUUAAAUCAAUCCAAAUUAGCCACUAAUUAGUCCCUCACUUAAAGUUAAUGACACUUACAUUAGCCAAUUCAUACUUAAUAUCACAUUUGGAAAUAACAUCCUUGCCUAAUAUUUCUUUAAUCACUUGGAACUUAAAAUAAAAUCUCAAUCCCCGGACUUACGUCUACUAGAUCACGAUGCGCACUACGUAUAUAAAAAAACGAGGCAUAACAAACCUAGUACGAAUAAUGUCAUUCGAGGAUGAAUGUUCCCAAGGGGGGAGAUAUUGUAACAUCUCAUAACUAGAAGAACUAGAAAAGAAUGUAAAAUUUGAAGAUAAAUACUUUUGGUAAGUAAAAGGAAAUCUAAAAAUCACCAAGUUAAAAAAAGUGAGUAUUUGGCCAACUUCAAACGAUCAUAACUCCUAGCCCAGGAAAAGUGUGGUGUAGUUCAAGAUAUGAUUGGAAAGCCUUUGGGAAUGAUUAUUACAAUUUCGUAAAGCUUGCACGAUUCCAAGUUCGUAUGAGUGAGUUAUAUCAUUUGGAAGUUCAGCAGUUGAAUUAAGGAAUAUCAAAUCCGGAUUAGGGAUGGGCAAAUUUGUUUUUCCUUACCUAAUUAUAUUAAUUCAUUCUUUAGGGAUUAGUUGGGGUAAAAUAUUACUUCAUUCAGUUCAGAUAUGGUAUCCCAAUACAUGUGAAUUUCUAAAGAUACAUACACAUAUAUCUGGUGUAUAUCUAGAGCGAUUCAAUGUGUCUGAGAUACAUACAAAUCUUGCUCUCCUCGUUUCCCAAUCUCACCUCUCUCCCUUAUUAUGUAUCUGAUAGCAAAAAUAAAUGUAUCGAAGCAUAAGAUACGUAAAUAAUUCUAUAUUAAUGGUAAGAUAGAUAAUAUAUUGGAAAUAUCGAUAAUAAUAAUAUUGAUAGUAAUUAUAUGUCUAAUUAUAUAGUUUUCUAAUAUUUUAAAAUAGUAUUGACCAUAUAUUCUGAGAGUAGAUUUUAAAAAUUCACCUUUAACUAAUUAUUUGAAUAUAAAAUUUGACCAGAUUUUCAGAUUUUGGACUUCAAAAUAAAUAGUAUUGACCAUAUAUUCUGAGAGUACAUUUUAAGAAUUCACCUUUAACUAAUUAUUUGAAUAUAAAAUUUGACCAGAUUUUCAAAUUUUGGACUUCAAAUAUUUUUGAGUUCCUAAAAAUAAGAUUUAUUUCUUGAUUUUAGAAACUUCCAUUCAAGUAGCUCCCAAAAGUUUAGGCAUGAAAUUUAUUUUUCUUCUAAUUAAUUUAACUUUUGUCGUCUACAAUUAUAGCAGCAUAUUAAAAGUUCUCAUAUUUUAUUGAAUGUUUGAAGAUUUUGAUAUAUAGAUAAUUUCAUUUCGAAUUGUGUUCUAACCUACUUUCUUCAAUGUGAUAAAGUUAUUAACCAAAUUAGAAUUUUUUUAAUGUCAUUUAUUUAGAAUUUUUAUUUAUUUUUUGUUAUUACGUAAGUGCAAGACUAUAUUCUUUUAAAUAUUUAUAUAAAUAUAUUUUGUUACUACAAUUUUAACAUACUGAGGAGAUUUGUUUUCAUUUAUUGUAUUGCGAGAAAUUAAUUACAACAUUGAAGAAUUCUUUUGUAUAAAUAAGCAUUAAUUUUUUUUGGAGAGCCUCAUCAAUUGACAUUAUUUAAAGUCAUGGCAGAAAAACAGACCCUAGGACGCCACAAGAUUUCAAUUGCAAAAAUUCAGAAUGAAGCAUAUUUAUGCUCAUCAUUUUUUAUGCUUCGGAAAAAUUUAUACAAGAAAAGAAGCGAUAUGAUUGGGAAAUAUGACAUUGAUAUGGGAAUAAUAAGAUUUUCCCUCUCAGAUAAACCCUUCUCUUUUUUUGCACCCGACAAUUGAUGCUGUUGUUGAUAGUUUGUUUUGUCCAUUUGACCGGGGAAGUGAAAAUAGUCGCCAUAAAAUUGCAUACACUCAGAUCAGAAUCAAGGAGAAUCAAGUUGAGCUUGACAAUCUCGAGAUGAUAAAAGAGACAUAAGCUAAUCAGACACUAGACGAGACUGACAUUAAAAAAAUGUGGGAACAAAUAAAGGUAUUUAAUGCAAAGGAUUUGAAAAAAUCUGAAAGUCGAUUGGAUUAUAAUUUGAUGUUGAAAAAUGUUGCUUCAUGCAAAUAAAUAAUUAGAUUUUUUUAAAAAAAAAUAUAUUUUCGUUUUAUGUUCUAGUUUCGAUGUUUAUUUUAAAGUUGAUGAUGUUAUAUGAAUUAUUUAGUUAUGAUUUAAAUUUAUGAUAUGAAUUUAGUGAACCCAAAGACUCAAAUUUUUUUUAUUAAUUAUGAUUUCAAUAUUUAAAUUUAUCAUGGUACGUUUUUACAAUUCUUAAAAUAUAUGUCAAUGAUUUUGAAUAUAUUUAAUUUUACUAUCACUAUGAGGACCUCAGAUCUUGGCUAUGACUACUAAAUGCAAAUUAGUUUUCUGGAUUUUAAUCUAACCACACUCAUAUAAUGUGUUCAAAAUUAAUUCAAAGUUAUUCUUACACGUUGGGGUAUUUAUAUAUAUCUUAAACGGCUUUAGGAAUAAUACAUUCUGAAAAAUAAAUAAUCAGAACUAGAAGGUGAAAUUAAUUCGAGCGGAUAGUGAUGUCCAUUUUCUCUCAGCAUCGUAGAAGAUCUCUUAGGUAAAAGAGACUCUAGUAGUUGAAUUAUAAAUUGAUUCAACUAAAGGUAAUGUCACUUUUUGAGAAAAAAUAAAAACUUUCAAUUUAGUGGUGAAAUCGAUAUUUUCAUGAUGGCUAAGCUUUCGUAAGUGACAAAAUCGACCAAUUUUCUCAAUGAUGAGCACAGUUUUACACCCAUUAUCAAUAAAUUUGACCAGCUUUGUUUUAUGUAUCUAUCACAAAUCAGUUGUUAAAAUAAUUGCGUAUGGAUUUUAGUAACACAAAAAUAUGCUGAUUAGGUUUUUAAUUAAAUAAUUUGAUUUGUCAAAAAAAAACUAGGACUAUUUUUUCGUUGUGUGCUGUUAUAUAUGAUAAAACUUCCAAAAAGAAGUUCAUUGGAUAAAUUUUUAUUACAUAAAUUCCACUAAUUUAAGAAUGAAUUACUUAAAUACAAUACAGUUUGGAAUAUUAUUUAUUUUACCAGAUUUUUGUGCAUAAAUGCUUCCAAAUACUGGUAUCUCAUAUACAUGGGAUCAAAUUUAAGUGUAAUUUGUUUAAGAUAUAUUAUAUCCAAGUGGAUCCACUUGUAUUUGUUAUACAUGUAUAACAAAUCUUGCUCUCUCCUUUCUCUCAUCUCACUCACAAUUCGAAGAUAGAUAUGGUAUCGUAAUACAUGUGAAUCAUUUAAGUUAUAUACACAUAUACGUAUCUAGUGAGUAUCUAGUGUGAUUUACAUAUGUCUAAGAUACAUACAAAUCUUGCUCGCCUCGUUCCACAAUCUCGCAUCUCUCCCUUUUUAUAUAUUUGAUAGCAAAAAUACAUGUAUUUAAGAAUAAGAUAUGUAAAUAAUUCUAAAUUAGUGGUAAAAUAGAUAAUUCUUUGGCAAUAUAGAAAUAAUAAUAAUAUUUAUAGCAGUGAAGUUUAUGUCUAAUUAUAUAGUUUUGUGAUAUUUUGAAAUAGCAUUGACCAUAUAUUUUGAGAAUAUAUUUAAGAAAUUCACAUUUAACUAUUAUUUAACUAUAAUAUUUGAUCAGAUUUUCAAAUUUUGUUCUUCAAAUAUUCUGAAAUUCCUAACACUAAUGUUUAUUGGAUUUUGGUAAUUUUCAUUCACGAAACUCCAAGAAAUUUUGGGCAAGAAAAUUAUUUUUUUCUAAUUACUUUAACUUUUGUCGUCACAAUUAUAGUACCAUAUUGAAAAUUUUCCUAUUAUAUUGAAUGUUGACGAUUUUUAUGUAUAGAUUAUUUCAUUUCAAAUUGUAUUCUCACAAACUUUCCUCAAUUUGAUGAAGUCAUUAACUAAAUAAGAAUAUUACUCUCUUUAGUUUAAUUUUUAUUAUUAUGGUAAGUGCAAGACUAUAUUCUUUUAAAUAUCUGUAUAAAUAUAUUUUGUUAUUAUAAUUUUAACAUAAUGAGGAGAUCUGUUUUCAUUAAUAUAUAGUAUUGCAAGAAAUUAAUUACGACAUUGAAGCAAUGUUUUUGUAUAAAUUAGUGUUGCAUUUUUUUGGAGAGUCUCAUCGAUUAACAUAUCCUUUUAGAGUCAUGAAAGAAAAAGAAGAUUUUGACGGCCAAAAUAGAAAAUGAAGAUGAUUUAUACGCAUCAUUUUUUCAAUGUAUUGUAAAACUUUAUACAAGAAAGGAAGCGAUAUGAUAGGGAAAUCACAUUGAUGUGGGAAUAAUAACAUUUUUCCAGUAUGAUAAUUCUUUCUUUUUUAUACCCUACAAAUGAUGUUGUUGUAGAUCGUUUCUUUAGUCUAUUUGACCAGGGAAGUGAAAAUAAUCGCUUUAACAUUGCAAACACUCUGAUCAGAAUCAAGAAGAACCAAGUUGAGCUUGACAAUCUCGAGAUCAUAGAAGAGACUUUGGUUAAACAGACAACAGAAAAUACUGACAUAGAAGAAAUCGGGGAAUAAAUAGUAGUAUUUUAAUUCAGAGGAGUUGAAAAAAUCUAAAAGUUGAUUGGAUGGGAUUGAUUUGAUGCUGAAUAAUGCUGCUCCUUCUUUUUCACAAGCUCCUCGAGAAAAUGCUAAUUAAGCAUACAAUGGUUCGUAUACAUUUGAAGCCUCAUGUGAUGAAAUAAUUAUUUUUUUUGUAAACAAUAAGUUUAAGUUUGGAUGUUUAUUAUAAAGCUGAUGGUGUUAUUUAAAUUAUUUAGUUGUGAUUUCAAUUUAUGAUAUGAAUUUAGUGAACCUAAAGACUCAAAUUUUUGUAAUUAUGAAUUCAAUAUUUAAAUGUCUCAUGGUACAUUUUAGAAUUUUUAACAUAUAUGUGAAUGAUUUUGAAUAUAUUUAAUGAUAUUAUCAUUGUAAAGACUUUAGAUCUUGGUUUUGGACUAAUAGAUGCAAAUUAGAUUUCAGGCUUUUAAUCUAAUCACACCCAUAUAAUGUGUUCAAAAUUAAUUUUUAAACUUAUAAAUUUAUUCUUACAAUUUUUGGCUAUUUAAAUAUAUCUUAAACGGUUUUUAGGAAAAAAUAGAUUUAAAAAAAUAAAUACUCGGAGCUAGAAGGUGAAAUUUAAUUCGAGCAGAUAGUGAGGUCCAUUUUCUCUCUAUAUCGUAGAAGAUCUGUCAAGUUAAAGUGUAGCUAGUAGUUGAACUACAGAUUGAUCCAACUAAAAGGUAAGCUCACUUUUUUGAGAAAAAAUAAAAACAUUUAAAUUUAGUAGUGAAAUUGAAAUUGUCAUGAUGGCUAAGCUUUCGUAAAUGACAAUUUUGGCCUAUUUUCUCUGUGAUGAGCGCAUUCUUACACCCAUCACAAACAAUUUUGUUCAUUUUUUAUAUGUAUUAUCACACACCAGUUGUUAAAAUAAUUGCAUAUAGAUUGUAUUAACACAAAUAUAUGCUGAUUAGGGUUUUAAUUCAAUAAUUUGCUUCGUCAAAAAAAAGAAGCAGCUAAGAUUAUCUUUUCGUUGUGUAAUGUUAUAUAUAAUAAAAGUUCAAAAAGGAAGUUCAUUGAAUAUUUUUUACAUAUAUUUCCACUAGUUUAAGAAUGAAUUACUUAAAUACAUUAUAGUUUGGAAUAUAAUUAUUUUACCUGAUUUUUGUUCAUUCAAAUACAUCCAUAUACUGAUAUCUCAUAUACAUGGGGUCAUAUUUACGUGUAAUUUGUUUUAUAUAUAUAUAUAUAUACAUUGUAUCCGAGUGGAUCUGACUGUAUUUGACAUACAUGUAUAGGAAAUCUUGCUCUCCUCUCUCUCAUCUCACUCUCCACUCUCAGAUAGAUGUGGUAUCCCAAUACAUGUAAUUCACUCAAGAUACAUACAUAUAUAUGUAUCUAGUGUGUAUCAAGUGUGAUUUACAUGUAUUUGAAAUACAUAUAAAUUGUACUCGCCUAGUUCCCCAAAUCUUGCCUCUCUCCCUUUUUAUGUAUCUGGUGGCAAAAAUACAUGUAUCUUAGCAUAAGAUACGGAAAUAAUUCUAAAUUAGUGGUAAUAUAGAUAAUAUUUUGGCAAUAUAGAUAAUUAUAAUAUUUAUAGCAUCGAAGUAUAUGUCUAAUUAUAUAGUUUUCUAAUAUUUUAAAAUAACAAUGACCAUAUAUUUUGAGCAUAGUUUUUCAAAAUUCAUCUAUAACUAUUUAUUAGACUAUAAAAUUUGACCAGAUUUUCAAAUUUUGGUCUUAAAUAUUUUGACGUUCCUAACACUAACUAAGAUUUGUUUUUGGAUUUUGGUUACUUCUAUUCAUGAAAAACCAAGAAAUUUUUUGUAUGAAAUCUUUUUUUCUUCUAAUUACUUUAACUUUUGUCGUGUACAAUUAUAGUAGAAUAUGAAAAUUUUUUCUAUUAUAUUGAAUGUAUGAAGAUUUUUAUAUAUAGGUUAUUUCAUUUCAAAUUGUGUUCUCACCUACUUUCCUCAAUUUGAUAAAUUCAUUAAUCAAAUUACAAUAUUAAUCUCUUUAAUUUAGAAUUAUUUAUUUAUUUAUUGUUAUUAUGGUAAGUGCAAGACGAUAUUUCUUUUAAAUAUUUAUAUGAAUAUAUUUUAUUAUUAUUAUUUUAACAUAAUGAGGAGAUUUGUUUUCGUUUAUAGUAUAGAAAUUAAUUACAACAUUGAAGAAUUCGUUGUAUUAAUAAGAAACACAUUUUUGGGAGAGCCUCAUCAAUAAACAUAUCAUUUUAGAGUCAUGACAGGAAAAAAGACUCUAGGCACCAGAAGCUUUCGAUGGCCAAAAUAAAAAAUGAAGAUUAUUUAUAUUCAUCAUUUUGAAAGUGUCUUGAAACACUAUCCAAGAAAGCAAGCGAUAUUAUUGGAAAUAUGACAUUGAUGUGAGAAUAAUAACAGUUCCCCCUAUGAUAAUCCGUUCUUUUUUUUACAUCCUACAAUUCAUGUUGGUGUUGAUCGUUUAUUUAGUCCAUCAAACCACAAAAGUGAAAAUAGUCGCCUUAACGUUGUGAAUACUCAUAUUAGAAACAAGUUGAGCUUUACAAUUUAGAGAUCAUAGAAGAGACUUUAGCAAAUCAGACAACAGACGAGACUGACUAGCACAAAUGUUGGAACAAAUAAAGGUAUUUAAUGCAGAAGAUAUGGAAAAAUCUGAGAGUCGUGGAUGAGAUUGAUUUGAAUCUUGAAAAUGCUACUGCUUCUUUUACACAAGCUCCUCAAGAAAUUGCUAAUUAAGCAUACAAUGAUUCCUAAUACAUUUGAAUCCUCGUGCCAUGAAAUAAUUAUGUUUUUUUAAAAUGUUUAUGUUUUGAGUUUUAGUUUUGAUUUUUAUUUUAAAGUUGAUAGUGUUAUUUUAAUUAUUUAGUUGUGAUUUCCAUUUAUGAUAUGAAUUUAGUGAACCCAAAGGCUUGAAUUUUGUAUUUAUUUUGAGUUAAAUAUUUAAAUUUCUCAUGGUACAUUUUAGAAUUUUUACCAAAUAUGCUAAUGAUUCUAAUUAAAUGUUAUUAUAUUGAAUAUAUUUAAUGAUACAAUCAUUCUGAAGACCUUAGAUCUUGGCUUUGGACUAAUAGAUGCAAAUUAGUUUAGAGAGUUUAAAUUUAAUCACACCUAUACAAUGUGUUCAAAAUUAAUUCAAAUUUAUUCUUACGGGUUUGGGUUGUUUAGAUAAAUCUAACAAUGGUUUUUAGGAAAAAAAUAACAUUUUUAAUAUAGUUAAUCAGAGCUAGAAGGUGAAAUUUAAUUAGAGCAGACAAUGAGUUCUAUUUUCUCCCAAUAUCGUAGAAGAUCAGUCAGGUCAAAGAGUCUCUAGUAUUUGAACUAUAGAUUGAGCCAACUAAAAGGUAAAGUCACUUUCGUAAAUGACAAAUUUGGCCUAUUCUCUUAUGGACGAGCGUAGUUUUACAACCAUUACUAACAAAUUUGACCAUUUUUUAAGAGUAGCAUUAUUUUAAGUAAUUCACCCUACCUUAGAUGUGAUGUUAUUCUCUUCUGUUUAUGAAAGUGCAUCUUAGCCCCUUGCUUCUUCUUCCAUGUGGAUUUUUCAUAAACAAGAUUUCAAGAGAAGUUUCCUUUUAUUUGUGGCACAUGGUUUUUUGAAAUUCAUUUCAAGAAGGUUGAAGUUUAUCUACUAUGCCACAAACAAUAAUGUUAUCUCCAAUUUUAACCUCUUCAAACCUAAGCUCUCAAACAAUCAUGAUAAAGUCUUGAGCUUGGUCUACCAGUGAUUUGUUGUCUACCAUUUGGAAACGAAAAAAUCAACUAGCCGCAUAUUUUUUCGCUCAAGCCUCUUUGGUAUCAUACUUAAUCUGCAAUGCCUUCCAAAUAUUCUUUGCACUAGAGUAAGUUCUAUCAUAAUAUUCAUAAAAAUUAUCAGAUAGACAAUUAAGAAGAUAAUACCGACACUUAUAGGAAUCACCAUCGUACUUUUCCACUUUCUCUAGAUAAAAAAAAUUAUUUCAUCAUCAUUCAUAGAGGUGAUGUCUUCUUUAUUUGGAUUCUUCUCGGUCAAUAAAUAAGAAACAUUGAGAAGAAUUAAGUAGAAAAGCAGUUUACCCUUUCAUCUCUUGAAAUGGUUACCAUUGAACCGAAAUGGCUUAUUAACGUCUCCCAUCUUGACAUCCGCGGUUUUUUUCAAUUGUAACCAUGUUAAAUCUCCUUAAUUGUUAGUGAAAACUUAAAAUAUAACAAAAAUACAAGAUUAAAUUGAAUAUGAAAUGAAGAAAUCAAAUCUUUUCAGGUUAACAUACGGAUAUUUCGCUCUCUUUAAGGAUAUUCAAGCCUACUGCAACAAAUGUUUCACAUGUACAACAGUAGUCCUCUUGGGCUUCUCCCUUUCAGGAUACAACGGCCUUUACAAAGUAUAACUCAACAACUACGGACAAGAUUUGAGUCCAAAGCUCCACAAAUAAAGCACCUCCCUUCAAUUAAUAAGAACUCUUUUUUAACUAACUCUUUUACUCUAUAUUUUUUUCUUCUGUUUUAUAGGUUACAAACCAAAUGAAGACCACCACUAUUUAUAGUAUAAGAAGUCUUCCUAACAAUGAAUAGGAAGAUAAUGUGGUAGUAAAUAGUGAAGAUACUGAUCUUAGGAGUUACAUAUGUUGCAAAGAAUAAUGGUAAAUAAUGUGAGUGCAUUAUGCAACUAACGGGCAGAAUGUGGAGUUUCACAAAGAUACAAUAAUGUGCACCAAAUGAAAAUGUCAGAAACGGCUUAAUAAAUAUAAAUAAACCUCAUAAUGCAUUCUUCCAAGGAUAAAAUAAAAUAAACCAACCUUUUUUCCAAAUAUAAAACAAAAUAGACCAAAAGAAAUUUCUUGAGGUUUGAUUCGUAUUUGAACGAGUGAUUUUGGAUUGAAUAUAUCGUAUAUUUAGAGUGCUAUUGAUCCUUAGUAUUUGGGGAAGGAUUUAUAUACAUUUACAGAGUUUUGAGAUUAAAAUUGAAGGAGAAAAGUUGGAGUCACCUAGAAAAAAGGAUGAUGCGUCGGGCCAGCCAGCGCGCCCCAAAGAAAUCUCUUUCUAUAGGGCUCUGGGGUGACGCGCCAGACUGAGCGCCCCAAACAGUCCUACGAAGUUUGAGGGCUGGCGCCCUGUGCUUUUCAGAACGCCAGGGAUGUCAGUUCUUCCCAUUCUCCCGUACUAGUUUCUUAGUGAUAUACCUAUGUUUCCUAGUUGAUUCAGACAAUCUAAGGUACAUCUACACAUCACGAAAUCAUCCAUAAACAUGAGAUCAUGAGCCUUGAAUCCAUUAUCCAAUUCAAGAAAGUUAAGAUCAAAGUCAAGAGAAGUUAAGAGUCUCAUAUACCACACUCAUUCAUUCAUUAGGAAUAGAUAUAGAAAUUUCUACUAGACACUCCACUCAACUUACGGAUGAUCAUAUUCAGAAGAGAUCAAUUGAGAAUAACAUUCAAUACACUCAACGUUCCUUAACAAUAGUGUAGAACUUCAUUCAUCAUUCAUUUAUUUUUCAUUCAUGAGUGUGUGUGAGGGAGUAACUUUUCACCUUAAAUGUCAUCAUUCUUAAAUGUUAAUCAAGAAUAUGACUCCACUCAUAACACCAUUGCAAUCUUGACAUAAUCAUAAAGUACAUGGAAGUAAACACAUCCACCAUAACUAGAUCAAACAUCAAUAAAUUAACAUUCUAUAUCAUUUAAAAUCAAUCUCAACCCAUAUAUCCAAGAUACUACAAGAGAUAAGACAAUUGACAUAUUUCCAUAACCAAUUCCACCAUCUGCAUAAGCAAUUCAACAUGAAUUCAUUCAUAAUUCCUUUAAAGGUCAUGAUCCUCACAUCAUCAAUACAUAAAUAAAUUCACCACAAUUAUAUAUAACUAAUGGCAUGAAUUCAUAAUCUAACUUCAUGUAAACACAUACUAUUCAUUAUAUUUCCAUAAUUAACCAAUUCUCAAUCAAUUUCCAAGAUAAAGAAGUUUGGAGAAAGUGUGGGUUCCUGAAGAAAUUCAAUAGAAACUCACAUUGAAAUCAUCAAUUAGACCACAUAUUAUCAUUAUAAUGAGUUUGAAAAUGUUUUCCAAUCAAACCCAAAUUAGAUUAGAAAGUAGUGUUUUGACUAUUGAUGAACUUUGAAAUGCAUUUUUAUUUGACUCCUUGAAUGAAAUAUUUAUCAAGGAUUACGGAUUACCAUCACUUAUACUUGAAGAAUCCCACAAAAUAGAAUUGAAAACUUGAAGAAAUUGACCUUGGAAACUUGAAAACCCCAACUCUAAAGGAGGUUCCUUCAGGGAGACUUUCAGAGAAGAAAGGUUUCUAAGUUUUUGAGUUUUGAAAAUAAUAAUGUGUAUAAUAGGUUUUAAACACUUGUAAUACUCUUUAAAUAUGUUAAUAUAACUAAAAUAACCGUCCAUGUACAUUAAAAUAUUUUACCAAUUCACCCUUCAGUUGGCCGAGCUAAAGACAAAUAUGUAGGUGAUAUCUACAGUUCCCCAUCCACGGACCAUGGAUGGGUUGAUUCCACGUACUGGUGUUCCAUUAUUUUUGUCACAGUCUGUUCCUUUGAGGCCUUGAUCCACGCCAAUGGUUAAUGAGUUGUAGAUCAAUCUACUGGUCAUGAAUGUGUCUCGUGAACCAAGCUGUUUUGACAACUUUUUGGGUAGAGUUAGGGUCCUCCCCAAGGAUCCCUUCGGUGGUAAUUGGGGUGUUCUACCAAGAAGUUUAACCCCUAAGAACAUUUUUCUAAUUAUAAUAUUCACUUCAAUUUUUUACACUUAAACAACACUCUAAACUUCACUGACAAGGCCUUAGAACACACUUACUCAAAUGACUAGUUUCCCGACCCUAUAGUCAUUUUUUGUUGUUUGACCUCAAUUCUCUUUAAACUAAAAUUAAAAAUCCAUUAAUCAUCAUUUCUAUCAAGUUCUCAAAUUCAAAAUCACAUGUGAGGCUCGAUUUCUUCCUAUAUAAUUUUUAGGACCGUUACGAUGUUAGGGUAUGCUAACAGUUAGGGUUAUGGUUCCAUUUAAGAACAAAUUACAUGAAAUAAUUGUGUAUCUUGAGAUCUGUGAAAUUGUACAUUGUUCAUAAAUGUUAAAGAUAUUGUAUAUUCAGUAUAUACAUGUGUUUAUAAUCGUGCUUGACUUUCUUAUGUUACACUUAGUAGGAUAGCCGCGUGAUCUUACCACUAAUCUCAGGUUAUGUACUAAUACUAUACUUGCCCUUAUUUUUCUUGAGUACAUGUAAUCUUCAAAUGGCUAUUGACACACCUAACUUAAAAGACCGGUGAACGUUUGAAUUCAAGGGUGAUCCAAUCUUUUGGGCUGGCAUGAGUCCUUCUUUCGUCUCUGUCCACCUUUCAUACUUAGACUUGUUCUAGUUAGUAUUAAUUUAAUAAGCUUAACUUAUACUCCUUUUUUAAAUAUAAUUUAACAAUUUUUAACACAUAGUUUAAUUAUCAUUUUAAAUUUAAUGUUACAAAUCAAUAAAACAUUUGAAACAUAGCAACAUAACUAAACCAAAAUUCUGAACUUCCUGUCAUCUUUGAGAUCAGACUUUUGUUUUUCCUUAAUCCCUAAGUAUUUUAUUCUAUGGAAAUGGAUCAAAAUGUUCUUAAAUUAAGUGAAAUGCAUAAAUUUUAUUCCACCAUUAAUAUUUUGAUCAAAUCAUACCCAUUAUUACUUAAUUUCCCAAAAAUAUCCUUAUUUCUCACCAAACAUAACAAAAAAUGAAUAAGUACAUAUUGGACCUAGUGUUAGAACGAAUGAACAAGAAUGAGAAAAUCACAAGGAAUACAAAAUAAAACAUUCGUGGCUUAAAGGCACAUUAAUACGUCUCUUGAAGAUAGUUGGAGUCUCUCCCACAAGCAAUCCGAAGAAUAAAUAACAAUUCUAUUUUUGGGAUUCAACUAAGCCACAAAACAAGUAGCAUUAAAGAAUGUUUCUCUUCUAUUAUUGAAUUGGUGAUUUCACCUUUUGAUUAAUGUCUCACAAGUGUUUUCAUGGGAAAGUACUUUUAUUUGAAUUCUUAUCUUUUUUAACCAAAAGAAACUCUUUUUAUAGGAUAAACAUUAUGCAAGAUAAAGACUUUUGAUUAAUAUAAUUUAUUAUAGGUUCAUGAAUUUAAAAUAAAGUUAUCUUUCCAAAUUAAUAACGUAGAGCCUCUUACAAAAUCCUAUAACGUAGAAUUAAAACAAAGAAGAAUGUGACAACUCACAUUCAUUAUUUUGUUAUUUUCAAAACUUUUAAUGGAUGAAUUUUAUUUCAAAAUUAAUUGAGGCACUAAUUCUUACAAUCCCCCACUUGUUUCAAGAAAUUUCAUCUUUGAAAAAUCCAAAAAAAAUUUUGAGACAUUAAUCUACAUGCGUCAAUACUGGUGUCUUUUAGACUUGAACCAUUAUCUAGUGAAGGUUUUCUAAAUCAUUGACUACUUAUUAAACAAAUCUUGAAUUAAGUGGUUUAUUGAAUGAAGUUAGAAAAAAAUACUCCACGCAUAUCACUAUAUUCCGGUGAAAAUCAAAAUCCUUUGGCACCUUACGGCCAUGUGUCAUGAAUCCUCUUAGCCAGAAACCUUAAAAAUCUUAUUGAAGCGGUGUCCACUUCGCACUUAGUGCAGUGAAUUCAUCAAGAGUAACUUUGCAUACUUUGACCAAAUAGUCUAUGAACUUCAUUAAGAGAAAAUUAAUCUCAUCCUCCUUUACAACAAAGUAUCGGUAAAUCUAUCAAGAGUAUUCCUAUGCACUCCAAUCGAAAUCGAUUUAUAGACUUAUUAAGAGGAUAUAAUCUCAUCCUUCACUUCAUUAGGAAUAUGAUUAACAUUUAUCAAGAGUUUUCUUACUAACUCCAAACGAGAUCGGUCUUAUAAAUUUAUUAAAAGAAAAGAAUCUCAAUCAUGUACUUCUACUUAUUUCAUUUUAUUUUGAAAAUGAAAGUUUUAUUGAUGUGUGUCACAAUUGUAACUUUAUUUGUUUUUCCCUUUGAACCCAUGAUUACAUCAUCAGGUAGGGUUACGAUAAAGUACAAUCAGUUUCCAACAGGGUUUAUUCCCAUACCAUUAUAGAUUUCAACUACUAACUCUUUGCCUAACCCUUUACACAAAGGAUUCGCUAAAUUAAAAUCUAGACUUUACAUAUUGAAGUGAUAUCACACCUUCCUCCAAUAAUCUCCUCAUAUUAUUUUGUUUGAGACAAACUUGUCUUGACUUGCCAUUAUAGCAGUCACUUGAAGCCCAAAAUAUAGUAGCUUGAUUAUCACAAUAAAUAGUUAAAGGUGGUAUGACUUACUCCAUAAAGGAAUAUCAAUCAACAAAAAUUGUAGCCAUUCAGCUUCUUCUCCAGCAGAAGACAUAGCUAUAAAUUUUGACUCCAUGUUUGAAUGAGUAAUACAUGUCUGAUUCUUUGAUUUCCAAAAGAUCGUUGCUCCAGCCAAAGUGAAAAUCAAAGCAGUAAUAGAUUUAGAGUCAUUCGGUUCAGAAUUCCAAGUAGCACCGCUAUAGCCUUCAAGAACAACAAGAAAUGUAGAGUAAUAUAGGCCAACAUUAAUUGUACCCUCCAAGUAUCUUAAAACACGAAUUAAGGCAUUCCAGUGUUCAACUCCAGGAUUACUAGUAAACUUGCUCAAAGUUCCUACUGUGUAACCAAUAUCAGGUUCGGUACAUAAGACUCCCAACAAUCUCAGAAUAUAUAAGCUGACCAAGAAUAUCACUAGAGUUCCGCAUAAGUUUGAUGCUAGGAUCAAAUGGUGUAGGAGCAGGUUUGACGUCAAAGUGACCAAACCUUUUUAGAAUUUUCCCAAUAUAACUUGAUUGAGUAAGAAUCAAGACAUUCGCCGAUCUCAUGAUUUUAAUGCCCAACAUUACAUAAACUUCUCCAAGAUCUUUCUUUUCAAAUUGAGAAGCUAUAAAUGAUUUUGUUUCUUUGACUCUUUCAAUAUCAGUUCCAAAGAUCAACAUAUCAUCUACAUAGAGACAUAUUAUAACACCUUUUUCUUCUUAAAUUUACUAAAUAUACAAAUAUCGCCACCAUUAAUUAAAUAGCCAUUAGAAAUUAUUACUCUUCUUAAUUUCUCAUUCCGUUGUUUUAGAGCUUGUUUGAUUCCAUAAAGAGAUCUAAGAAGCUUACAAACUUUGUGUUCUUGACGAGGAACGACAAAACAUUCUGGUUGUUUCACGUAAACCUCUUAAUCUAGAUCUCCAUUCAGAAAUGAAAUCUUCACAUCCAUUUGAUGUAUUACCAUACUAUGAAUUACGGUUAAAGCAAUUAAGAGUCGAAUAGAAGUCAAUUGGCUACAGGUGCAAAGGUAUCAAAAUAAUCAAUAUCUUUUGAUAUACCGUUAUUUCACGGUAUUUUUAAUGCUUUUUCCUUAUGUUUAGUGUGUGUCCAAAAGCCUUUUUGAAUUAAUUUUUAUGAAAGUUUCUCUUUAUUUGCACGAAAUCUGUCUAAAGAUGAAUGCAAAAGUUUUUUAGUAAGAAAUGCUAAAAAGUAUCACCUACGGAGCUUUUGACAGUCCAUCGUGCCUGUGACGAUCCGUAGGUGGCAUCGUAGUGAAGCUGCUGAAGGAAGAUGGGGAAGUCUGUGUUAUGCCUCGUAUUUUAUACGUAGUGCGCGUCAUGAACUAGUAGAUGUAAGUCCGGGAAAUGAGAUUUUAUUUUAAGUUCCAAGUGAUUAAAGAAAUAUUAGGCAAGGAUGUUAAUUCCAAAAGUGGUAUUAAGUAUGAUUUGGCUAAUGUAACUGCCAUUAACUUUAAGUGAGAGAUUAAUUAGUGGCUGAUUAGGAUUAAAUUAAUCUAGUGGGCCCCACCACUCAAGGCAAAUUAAAAGGAAUCAGAUUAGGAGCUGGCCUUAGUGGGACACGUGUAGAGGGGGUUUGCCUCCACUUCAUAUUAUAAAUGGGUGGUGAAAUGCAUUGCAACAUACCAUCUUCUUUUCCACUUGGCUUAGGCAGCCAUGGAAAUGGAGAAAACCAACCAUGUAACUCUUGGCCAGCAGUUACAAAGAAUUUGGUCAGUAAUCUCUUUGCUUGGUGUGUUAAUUCCUUAGAAUACCUUUGGUAAUUAGCCAUAAUGUUAAGAAGGGGGCGUAACCAAUAGCUUAGGAAGUUUUUUUUAGUUAUUGAAUGUGCUAAGUAUGAACGGAAACCAUAAUCGAAUUAUUAGUGGUGUCGUGUUAGUGUUUGGGCUGUUUUGAUUAAAGCAAACUGCGGGAAAUUUUGUUUUGGUGUUAUGUAUAUGUUAAUGUGAUUAUGGGUAUAUACUCCAAAGGAUGAAUACGAUAAGGUAGAUGUGUUUGCGAAUUAUAAAACAUGUUAUCGCUCGGUGUGUCGUUGCUUCGUUACUAUAGUUGCCGAGACGGAACUGUUUUGGGGGGGGGGGUCUGUUUAAUAUGAUUCGUUGGGAUAUAUGUGUUAUUGGUAUUGUUGUGAAUAAUUUGGGUUGUUGUCGGAUUGGGACGAAGUAAGGAAAACAGGGGAAGUGCUGCCAGAUUUUUGUUAGAUCAUUAACUAGCUUACAUAAGUAGUAAAGCGCGACGUUUCUCUGAUUGCGGCACGAUUGUAGCUUGUUAUUGAUUAAUAGCUUGAGCAAUAAAUAUUGGACGUGAGGCUCGGCUAUACGGUAUGUAAAGCUAUCUUUACUUUCUUUGGUUGGCACGACUUUUAAAAAUGAGAGAAUAACGGACAGGUUUGAUACUUACUUCUAGAGCGUCUAGGUGACAUAUAUUCUUGCCUCCACAACUAUUCCUCUAUAUAUCGGCCAUGUCUAAGGCUAUGAUGAUUUCUCAUAUCUAUGGUAGUGCUUGUUAGAGUCAUUGAGAUUUUAUGUUUCCAUAUCGUAUUAAAGGUUCAAAUACUUGAUACAACGUUAAUAUUUGGUAAUACUCCUUGCUGGUUCACGUUGAUUGUUCUAUUGAGUUAUAAGAAAUGAUUUUAAUUGCAUAUGGUUGGUCAGAAUAUUCUGCUCGUGCAUAGAGUCAUUUAUCAUUUCACCGAGUCCCGAGUCGGGUAAUGUUCGUACGGAGUUUCUAGCAUAUGUCACCGAGUCCCUCACUAGAGGGCAGGGUAUGUAUUUUAUAUAUAUGAUUGGUGAUGAGGAUGGUUAUGAUGAUGAUGAUGACGGAGAUGAUGUGAUGACUAUUUCACCGAGUCCCUCACUAGACGGCCGGGUACAUAUGAUGUAUAUAUAUGAUGAUUAUUUUGCCGAGUCCAUUACUAGGGAAGCUAGGCACCUUAUAUGUUAAAGAUAUGCAUGAUUUUCACUUAAAAGGUACAUGUGUUGCGAUAUCUUGUUUCGAAUUUUCAUGUUGGUAUCCUGUCAUCUUUCCCUUAUGCUUUACAUACUCAGUACAUUGUCCAUACUGACCCCCUUUCCUCGGGGGGCUGCGUUUCAUGCCCGCAAGUGUAGACGCACAGUUCGGUGAUCCUCCCGCCUAGGAUAUCUACUCUGCUGAUUGGGAGAGCUCCACUGUUUCGGAGCCCAGUCAUUUUGGUACGUAACUUUUUGUGUAGUCUUUUGCUUGUCUAUGGGUAUGGCGGGGCCCUGUCCCGUCGAGUUUCACUGCUAUCCUCUUAGAGGUCUGUAGACAUUAUGUGGGUUGCAAUAUGUUUUGGAUAACAGGAAGCUACAGGACAUUUAGGAUGUCAUCCUUCCUUCUUAUUCUAGAUCGUGCGAUAGAGCUAUAUAAAUAGGAUAAUCCCUAUCUAACGAAGUCUAUACUGUCGAACGCUCCUGCCAUUUUGCUUCAAAUGGAAGAAUCUAUCGACUCUAGCUCGCUUCAUCUCUGGAGGCAGGAAGUGGCCCUGGAAAGCCUCCACAAAUUCAUCCCAUACCGUUGGAGGAGCACCCUCACCCCUAGAUAACUUCCAAGACUCAUACCAAUUAAUAGCUACAUCCCGCAAAUGAUACGUAGCCAACUCAACAGACUAGAUCUCCGAAGCCUUGAGUAUCCUCAAUGUACGCUGCAUCUAACGAAUAAACUCUUGCGGAUCAUCCUGCGGCCUUGACCCAAAGAACUCUGGAGGAUUACAACUUAAGAAGUCACGAGCCCUUAAGCUAUCAGAUCUGUUCGCAUGAUCAACUCCUAGUCCAUCCCUGCGAGCCUGACCUGCCACUAAUCUAGUCAGCAACUGAAUCGCAUCUCUCAUGGCCCUAUCCUCCACCCCUGUCUGAGGAGCUGGAGGUUCAGGUGCUGGGGCCUCGGGGGCUGGUGGUGUCCCACGAACUGGAGCUGCUGCUGCUCUAAGCUCCUUUGGCGGUGGCAGUGUAGCAGAGCUCUCCGACUGGAGCAUAAUACUAGACAUAGACUGGGCACGGGCCCUAGUAACUCUCCGGGUCUGACUAGUACCUUCUACUACCGAUUUGCCCUUCUGGGCGGCUGUCGCUUUCUUUGGAGGCAUAGCUGAAAACACACGGAUUCGUUAGAGAGGGAUUAUCCUGUUAAUAUAGCUCUAUCGCACGAUCUAGAAUAAGAAGAAAGAAUGACAUCCUAAAUGUCAUGUAGCUUCCUGUUUAUAAAUGUGGUGCACAACCCACCGAUAAAGAAGACUCUACUAGACACGGUCUAUAGACACUUUCGAGGAAGAACCGCUCUAAUACCACUCUUUGUGACGACCCAACCCUAUGGGCCGUGACUAGUGCGCGUUUUGGACAUCCACAUAAAAACAUGCUAAGUAUAACCAACUGAAACUAAGACAAUAUGGAAUUUAAUCAAAUCAAGCCAACCCCAACGUCAUAUAUAUAUAAAGAGGACCUGUCUCAUAAGGAGUCAUAACCAUUCAACCGUAACAACAUACGCGAGCCGAAAAUGCCGCCACUAUCCAAAGCAUAAUAACAUACGUAAGCCGACAAGGCUGCUACUACACAAUACACAAUGAUGUACGCAGCCGACUAGGCUGCCCCUGUACAAGAGGACAUCCCAAACAUAUCAUGUCCAGACCAUUAUCCAAAACAUAUAUAUACACCCCACAUAAUGUCCACAAACCUCUAAGAGUACACUAGUGAAACUCGAUGGGACAGGGCCCCGCCAUACCCAUAGACGAGCAAAAGACUACACAAAAAGUUAUGUACCAAAACGACUGGGCUCUGGAACAGUGGAGCUCUUCCAAUCAGCAUAGUAGAUAUCCUAGGUGGGAGGAUCACCGAACUGUGCGUCUACAUCUGCGGGCAUGAAACGCAGCCCCCCGAGGAAAGGGGGUCAGUACGGACAAUGUACUGAGUAUGUAAAGCAUAAUGUAAAGAUGACAGGAUACCAGUAUGGCAAGUCGAAAAAAAAUAUUGCUACACAUGUACCCUUUUAAGUGAAAAUCAUGCAUAUCUUUAACAUAUAAGGUGCCCAGCUUCCUUAGUAAGGGGCUCGACAAAAUAAUCAUCACCUCAUCUCCGUCAUCAUCAUCAUCAUAACCAUCCUCAUCACCAAUCAUAUAUAUAAUAUAUAUACCCGGCCCUCUAGUGAGGGACUCAGUGACAUAUGCAAGAAAUUCCGCACGAACAUUACCCGGCCCGGGACUCGGUGAAAUGAUAAAUGACUCUAUACAGGAGCAGAAUAUUAUGAGCAACCACAUGCAAUUAAAAUCAUUUCUUAUAACUCAAUAGAACAAUCAACGUGAACCAGCAAGGAGUACCAAAGAUUAACGUUUUAUCAAGAUUAUGAACCUUUAAUACGAUAUGGAAACGUAAAAUCUCAAUGACUCUAAGAAGCACUACCAUAGAUAUGAGAAAUCAUCAUAGCUUUAGACAUAGCCUAUAUAUAGAGGAAUAAUUGUGGAAGCAAGAAUAUACGUCACCUAGACGCUCUAGAGGUAAGUAUCAAACAUGUCCGUUAUUCCCUUAUUUUUAAAAGUCAUGCCAAACAAAGAAAGAAGGGACAGCGUUACAUACCGUAUAGUCUAGCCGAACGUCCAAUAUUUACUGCUCAAGCUAUUAAUCUAUAACAAGAAACAAUCGUGCCGCAAUUAGAUAAACGUCGCGCUAUACUAUCUUGUAAGCAAGCUAAUAAUCUAACGAAAAUCCGGCAGCACUUCCCCUAUUUUCCUUACUUUGUCCCAAUCCGACAACAACCCAAAUUAUCCACAGCAAUACCAAUAACACAUAUAACCCAACGAAUCAUAUUAAACAUCCCCCUCCCCAAAACAGUUCCGUCUCGACAACCAUAGCAGCGAAGCAACGACACACCGAGCGAUAACUCGUUUUAUAAUUCGCAACACAUCUGCCUUAUCGUAUUCAUUCUUUGGAGUAUAUACUCAUAAUCACAUUUAACAUAUACAAAGUGCCAACACAGAAUUUUCCCGCAGUUUGCUUUAAUCAAAACAGCCCAAGCACCAACACGACACCACUAAUAAUCCGAUUAUGGUUUCCGUUCAUACUUAGAACAUUCAAUAACUAAAACAAACUUCCUAAGCUACUGGUCACGCCCCCAUCUUAGUAUUAAUGGAUAAUUAACAAGUUAUUCUAAAGAAUUAACACAUUAAGCAAGGAGAUUACUAACCAAAUUAUUUGCAGCUGCUGGCCAAGAGUUCCAGGGUUGGUUUCUCCAUUUCCAUGGCUGCCUAAGCCAAGUGGUGAAGAAGAUGAUAUGCAGCAAUGCAUUUCACCACUUUAUUUAGAAUGGAGUGGAUUUCUCAACCUCAUUUAUAAUAUGAAGUGGAGACAGCCCCCCUUUACACGUGUCCACUAAGGCCAGCUCCCAAUCUGAUCCCUUUUUAAUUUUUGCCUUGACUGGUGGGGCCCACUAGAUUAAAUUAAUCCUUAUCAGCCACUAAUUAUGAGUGGUGGGGCCCACUAGAUUAAAUUAAUCCUAAUGAGCCACUAAUUAAUUCCUCACUUAAAGUUAAUGGAACUUACAUUAGCCAAAUCAUACUUAAUAUCACUUUUGGAAUUAACAUCCUUGCCUAAUAUUUCUUUAAUCACUUGGAACUUGAAAUAAAAUCUCAUUCCACGGACUUACGUCUACUAGAUCAUGAUGCGCACUACGUAUAAAAAAUGCGAGGCAUAACACACGGCCCCCAGAAUACUACAGAGGCUAUGGUAAUAUAGCAGACUCCGAUGGGCCACUUGUCUUGCCCCCUCAACCAUCAAGCCACACCUUUGUGGUAACUAGUAGCCUGAUGCAAAUGCUCACUGCCAGAGGUUUGUUUUUAGGGAUACCUUCUGAGGAUCCAAAUGCCCACAUAGCUAAGUAUGGGCAGUGUGUAAAAGUUGUGUAGGGUGGCCUGACUUGGACUUGGAUGUAAUAGGGCUAAGAGUGUUUCCUCUCUCACUGACGGGAGAGGCUGCUAUUUGGUUCACUGAGCUCCCUUAUAACUGAAUUUUUACUUGGAACCAACUAAGGGAUGUUUUCAUAGCACGCUACUACCCGGUCUCCAAGAAACUGAACCACAAAGACAGAGUGAACAACUUUGUGGCACUACCAGGAGAGUCAGUUAAUAGUUCUUGGGAUAGAUUCACCUCAUUUUUUAGAAGCGUCCCAAAUCACCGUAUAGAUGAUGAGUCACUGAAGAAAUACUUCUAUCGGGGACAGGAUGAUAAUAAUAAAGCGGUGUUGGAUACUAUAGUAGGUGGUUCUUUUGGGAGUGUCCUUAUGCUGAGAUUGCCGAAAAGUUAGAUAAAAUCUCUCGAAACAAUAAAGCUUGGAGUACUAGACAAUCAGAUACUGGGAGAAAUACCUUCGCAGUACAAUCCACUCACAACCCAGCCACAGAUGAGAUUCAUGAAGAAAUGGCUCAGAUGAGAACUGAGCUUGGGUUGGUAUUAAAACAUAUCACUGGGGUGCGAAAAAGAUAAAUGCAGUUAACUACUUGUCUAUACCACCACCCACAAAUGUUGAAUGCUAUUAUGCGGAGGAUUUCUAUGCGGUAAACGAGUAGACGGGGGGUUUCCAACUGAGUGCCCAAGGCUCAAAUCAGGAGAAUUGGCGCUAAAGUCAAGGAAACCAAGGUCGGAUAUAUGGUAACUAUAACCAUGAGGGUCAUUAUGUCCGAGAUGGAAACUAUAACCGCGACAACAACUUCAACAGGGGUAACUAUGGUAACAGAAAUAAUAGGAAUGGGCUCUAUGUCCCUCCUCAAAAUCAUGAAGUUACUCCUAGGGAUAGUGGAGGUAGUAUGGCGCGAGUUGAGGAUAUGUUGCACAAGAUGAUGAGGAGGUUCAAUGCUAAUGAUGAGCACCUUAAAGAGAGUUAACAAGUGAUUUAGCGGGUAUUGGGCAUAAAGUCGAUACACAUGCAAUAUCGAUUAAGAAGAUCGAGUUGCAAAUGGACCAAUUAUCUACGACUGUGAACACAUGGCAACUGGGCACUCUUCCUAGAAAUACAGUCCAAAAUCGAAAAAAUGAUGCACACUGUAUGACAAUCAUUACUCAGGGUGGUAAGAAAACCAUUGACCCACCUAUGCCGUUUAAUGAGGAAAUGGUGAGAAAGGGUAAUGAUAAGGUGGUAGAGGGUAGUGGUGAAGUAGAAGAUAGCACUGGAAAAGAUGCUGAAGUACCUAUAAAGGUAAUUCCCAUGCCUAGACCACCACCCCCUUUCCUCAAAGAUUAGUGAAAAAGACUGAGGAAGGUAAAUAUCAGCGUUUUAUAAAAAUGUUGAAGCGGCUUUCUAUCAAUGUCUCUUUGGUAGAAGCUCUAGCACAAAUGCCCGGUUAUGCCAAGAUUAUGAAAGAUGUUAUUACAAAGAAAAGAUCGGACACUUUCAAGGAUGAUUAUAGAAUGCAACAUUGUAGUGCUAUUGUUACAAGAUCUCUCGUACAAAAGAAAGAAGAUCUUGGUGCAUUCACUAUUCCUUGUAUAAUCGGUUCAUUACAUUUUGCGAAAGCAUUAUGUGAUAUGGGGCAAGCAUAAAUCUCCUGCCCCUCUCUACUUACAAGAAGCUGGGUUUGGGUGACCCAAAGCCCACUGCGAUAAGGCUACUGAUGGCCGAUCGAACAGUGAAAAGGCUUAUAGGGAUACUCCACGAUGUGCUAGUAAAAGUGGAGUCGUUCAUAUUUCCAACAGAUUUUGUUAUCAUUGAUUGUGAAGUCGAUUUUGUAGGUCCAUGAGGCAGAGUGGUGAGCUCCAAUCAGUAUCUGCUAUACUCUACAAAGAAAAGAUGAAGAAGGAUUAUGACCUAAAAAGUGGAAAACAAGAGUUUAUGGUUGGGGUUGUGUUGACUUACGGGCAAGCUCAAGUCCAAAUGGACUGGCACUUACUUGAUUACCCAAUUAUUCCCUCAUGGAGCAGUUGAGUUAGAAAUCAAGGAGGGAGUGAGGUUUAAAUGGAGAAUGAAUAAAACUCUAUUUUGGGCAUACUUAAUCGGCAAAUAAAGUGAUCGAGGCAUACCAUCUUGACGAAGGAUGAGUGAUCAAGUGUCCUCAGUCAUGCCGCGAUGUUAAAUCAGGCGCUCGUUGGGAGGCAACCCAACACUUAUAGUAUUUAUUUCUAGUAAUGAUAGCAUUUUCUACUAAUGGUUUUUAAAUUUGUAGGCACAUCACCAGGAAAUUCUGCAGAAAAUAACUCUGCAGCAAAAACUGAUGGACCCAUCGAUGACCCGUCACAAACGUGACGGACCAUCACAUGAAUCCAUCGUGCAGGUAUGUCUUUCAGUUAUUUUAAAAACUAGGGCACACGCGAUGGAACAAAUGACAGAGCGUCGCAAUUGCGAUGGAGCGUCAUCGGGAAUCAUCGCGUCAUUAAUGAGCUUACCCGACCCGACCCGGUUGGGAACUUUUAAAAAAUUUCAACCUAUAAAACCCCCCACCCCUUCAUUUGAAAGGUUUUUCCCUCUUUCUCCCAUUCCCUCCCUCUUAAAAUUCCCACUUCCUACCUCUCUUUCAACCGAUCAUUUCCCCAAAUUCCCCAAUUCCUAAAAUCCACUCUUUACUAAGCGGAGUCUGCUGUUGUUGUUCUCUUCCUUAUAACUAAGAACUUUCCUCGCUUGUUUUUCUCAAAUUCUCAUGUAUGUGUCUCUGAUUUCUACCCAUUUACAUUGCAUUUUUGUUUAUCAAUUAGUAUUAGCCUAUUUCUUAUUGAUGGUUCAUUCUUUAAUACAAAUUAUGUCUGACCUAGGUUGAGAAUCCUCAAAAUUGCCUUGUUAAAACACUAGAAAUAGAUGCUUUAGCAUUACUAGUUUACUAGGUAUUUGGGUUAGACACAUGUAGGUUAAACACUAAAAAUUCCAUUUGGGUCAUAGUGGAUGAUUGUGGCAUCCCUAAAUCUAUCACUGAAUGACAAAAUGAGACUCCGAUAACAGACCGUCGUACCCACGAUGGACCGUCAUAGGGUCCGUCCAACAUCCCUAACACCCCACUGUCCAAUUUUCUCUAAGUGUCCACCAACGGACACAUGUGAUGGACCAUCGUUCCCACGAUGGUCCAUCCUGCACAACCGUUCUGGUUAUAAGAGACCCUAUUCCUAAGGGUCUCUCACUUUUUCUAAGUAUCCUACAAUGGACACAUGCGACGGAUCGUCAUUCCCACGAUGGUCCGUCAUGCACAACCGUUCUGGUUGUCAGAGACCCUACUCCUAAGGGUCUCUCACUUUUUUUAAGUGUCCUUGUACAGACAUAUACGCCGGACCGUCAUACCCUCGACGGUCCAUCCUGCACAAUCGUUCUGGUUGUCAGAGACCCUGUUCAUAAGGGUCCCAACUUUUUCCAAGUGUCCUCUUAGGGACAUAUACUACGGACCAUCAUACCCUCGACGGUCCAUCCUACAUAACCGUCAUGACGGUCAGAGACCCCUCUCCUAAGGGUCUCCAACUUUUUCUUAGUGUCCUCUUACAAAUAUCUACGACGGACCGUCAUACCCUCGACCAUCCGUCCUGCACAAAUUGUCAUUACGGUCAAAGACCCCUCUCUAAGGGUCCCCAUACAUGUUCUAAGUGUUCCGUGACGGACAUCGAUGACGGACCGUCAUCAUCACGACGGUGCGUCCUGCUUAUCUAUCAUAACUGUCAGAGACUUUCCUUCAGGGUCUUCUUAUAAACAUAGUUUUAAGUAAGACAUGACGGACCCCAUGACGGUCCGUCGUACUCACGAUGAACCGUCACCUGGUCCGUCGUGUUUCACUGUUACUAUAGAAAAGUCAAUACAACUUAGCUCUUAUAUUUAUUUUGUUUUGUUUUUGCUCGUCUUGUUCGCUCCUUCUUGUACUAAUAUUGAUUCUUUACAGAAACUAUCUACUAUGGCACCAAAACAAGAUCGAGUUUAUGCACGUAGGUGAUCAAAGUUUGUCGCCCCAUCUUCCCGCCUGGUCAUUGGCUCUGAUGAUGAGCGUGACCCCGAGUACGUGCCCGCAAGCACUUCCACUCCAUCCCGAGAUGCCCGUGCUGCUAGAGCCACAUCCAAAAAGGUGGCGUCUAACGUAGUCACUGACUCUCAGUCUGAUGAGGAGUGCACACUGAUCGACACACCUUCUGGGUCAGCUACUCAUAAAGAAGGAGCGUCUGGCUCAUUAGGAGUUUCGUAAUCGGAGGAAGCCUGCGGAUCUACUGAAGUCCCUGCACCCGCCAUAGCUGCACAGUCUUCCUCGUUUGAUGAGGCUGACAGUUGUGAAUCCACUCCCGGUUCACCAACUCGUGCUCUCACCCCAGUUGCCGAUCAGCCCAACCGGUGGUGUGUCGACGGGCAAUAUCAAGUUUAUUCAGACACAAAGUUUCUGAAUGAGAAAGGAGUCAUGACACGGACCAUUACAUUGGAGAGGCGGGUCCUUAUGGGAAGUCUCCCUACUAUGCCAGAGAUCCACAAUCUCUUAACCAGACACCGACUAGCACAUUGAUCAGCUCAAGACCCUGCUCGGCACUAUUGAGAUCGGCCUCAUCAGGGUUGAGGCAAAUGAGUUGGCUCCAUGCAGGGGGCCCCGUCCAGAGUUGCCUCCACUUGGUUACAAUCUGACUGAUACGGUAGCACAGGAUCGCACGGCUACGCAAGCUGCUUCUAAAACCACUGAAACUACCCCGGUCGAGUCUAUCCCAGGUAGUAGCAUUGCCCCGAGCUCCUCUCGCUGAACCCCUUUCCCUGCUUUGGCCCUGCUUUCUAAGGUCUAGAAAUUAGAGGCACAGAUGGCUACACUUCUGCAUCACAUCUAGCCUUGGAUGUAGAGGACUAUUGCUGAGGUAGAAGAGCGCUUGGAGCGGAGAAUGGUCCUGCACACAGAGCGGAAGAUCGCUGAGGUUCAUCAGCGCUUGGACGCUUUUGAGUUGAGGGUGCUAGCCGGGACAGCCCCUCAGGUGGAUGUGUCAACCCUUCAGGCUGCGGUCAAGAGUCUUCGUGCAGAUAUUGAUAUGAUUCUAGAGUCUAGGGUGCCUGAGUAUGAGGCCCUUCUAUAGAGCCUAUUGAGGACACAGUGAUGGCGGCUUUAUUCGCCAGUUCUGAGAUUCCACCACCUCCCCUCCAGAGAAUGCCAAGAGGCAUAGGGGUCGAGACGAGGAUGAGGCUAGAGCACGGUAGAUGGAGGGCUUUGAGAUGGAGGCUGCGAGGAGAGCCUCGCUUGCUGAUGAGGAGUCGCGUUGGAUGAGGGCUGUAGAGGUAGCUGCUGGGCAUCUAGCUCCAGAAAUGUGAAAAUAGCGGGAGGCACUGCUGAUAGUGAUGUUGCUGAUGAGGACACUACUGAGGGUGUCCAGAUUACAGAGGUAGUGGGUUCCGGGCGACCGAACCCACCAGCUUGCUGAUUGUCGGCGCUUUGCGCCCCAGGUUUGCUUCACCUACCACUUUCGUAUUUCAAUUUUUGUAUGCAUUGGGGACAAUUGCAUGUAUUUUUUUUUGGUGGUGGGUUAAAUUAAAAGUGAGUGCUAGGGUGAAGUCUGAGUAGCCCAAUUCACUAUCCUCUUUUGGGGUUUUCUUGCCUGUGAUCUUUUUCCCCAAGAGACUGAUUAUUUUUACUGUUGAACCGGCAUGUCUAUAUCUUGUGUACAUAGUUUAACUCUGAAGCAUGAUGGAUAAAAUGAUAUCCUAAUGAAAUGAAAAUGAUGCAUGACUAGGCAUAGUAAUUGAUAAAUGUGUGGCUCUAAGAAUGACAUAGAGAUACACCACUACAUGACCCUAAGUCUAAAAUUCAAACUAGGUGUCUGAUAAUCUGGUAGAGUUAUGAGAUGUCAAGUGAGUGUGAGGAAGAUUUGAAUAGUCCACUAUUUGUACUGAGCUAGAACUUGCCUGGUUAGUCCUGCUAAAAGUAAGCUAUAAUAGACAAUUAAAAAAGGAUCAUAGGCCCUUGUUCAAUAUAGCCCAUUUUUAGCCUAAAUAAAAAAAACAAAUGAAUUUAAUCCUUCUUUGACCCAAAUGAUUUGAGCUUAAACUAGACCUUUCUUUUUCACCCCAAUUGAUCUUUUAUGGGAAUAAUGUGUUGGCCCUGGUCCCUCCUUGGACAUGUGCACCUUAGCUUAUGCCAAAAGCAUAAGUUGAGAGUGGCUAAUGCCGUAAAUACCCUCUUUAUGGCCCAGCCCAACUUUGGGUAUUGUGUACUUUGACUAAUGGCAAAGCCUCUAUUAUCAGGAAUGCUCUGGAAAGUGGAGUUGAAAGAACAAAGAGAGAGAAAGAGCAAAAGUAAAGUGACUCAAGAACCAGUUGAAAGAAAAGUGAAAUUAAAAAAACAUAAAAAAAUAAAAAAAUAUAAUAAAUACAAGCAAGAAAAUAGGAGAGUCACUUACACAAAUGAAGAAAGAAGGGAAAAUAGCAAGGUUAAAGGAUAUGAGAAACUGAGCGAAAUAAAAUUAUAAAAAGUAGUAUGUUCAGCCGAUAUGUCAAGGAGGGCAAAAAGUCACUAAAGUAUACCUAAAUAUACCCUACCUGACCAUGAGCCUAUGUUACAAGCUAAAAAAGUCCUAUAGUGAUGUUAAAAGUUGUAUAGAGAACUUAAAGUAGUGAAAAUAAGGGCAAACUUAUGGAAAUAUGUAUGAUUGAGUUGUGAAUCUGUUCUGAGAGUCAGUGUUGAAAAGUAAUCCUUAUACUCAAACUAAAAUCAUUGUGUGAAAAAUGAGGAUAUUGUUUUGAAGUGAGGUACUAGUUGCAAUACCGAAAAUAUUAGCACCUCGGCGAGAAAUUGAAGAGGAUAGGUGUUAGUGUGUGGUGAGUUUGUGUCAUGGUCUGAUUCCACAUAAUUCAAGCCUAAUAGUGAUAGCAUGCAUAAAUAUGAUGAGAAUGAUCAGGAUUGAUAGCCAAAUGAUUGCGACAGAUAAGACAUGGAUACUAUUUACAAAGAUUUUGUAAUGAGUCAUAGUGCGUCGCUUGAGGACAAGCAACAAAUUUAAGUUGAGGGUGUUGAUAUACCGUGGUUUCACGGUAUUUUUAAUGCUUUUUCCUUAAGUUUAGUGUGUGUCCAAAAGCCUUUUUGUAUUAAUUUUUAUGUAAGUUUCUCUUUAUUUGCAGGAAAUCCGUCUAAAGAUGAAUGCGAAAGUUUUUGAGUAAGCAAUGCAGAAAAGUAUCACCUACGGAGCUUUUGACAGUCUGUCGUGCCUGUGACAAUCCCUAGGUGGCAUCAUAGUGAAGCUGCUGAAGGAAGAUGGGGAAGUCUUUGUUAUGCCUCGUAUUUAAUACGUAGUGCGCGUCAUGAACUAGUAGAUGUAAGUCCGGGGAAUCAGAUUUUAUUUUAAGUUCCAAGUGAUUAAAGAAAGAUUAGGCAAGGAUGUUAAUUCAAAUUUGGUAUUAAGUAUGAUUUGGCUAAUGUAAGGGCCAUUAAUUUUAAGUGAGAGAUUAAUUAGUGGCUGAUUAGGAUUAAAUUAAUCUAGUGGGCCCCACCACUCAAGGAAAAUUAAAAGGAAUCAGAUUAGGAGAUGGCCUUAGUGGGACACGUGUAGAGGGGGGUUGCCUCCACUUCAUAUUAUAAAUGGGUGGUGAAAUGCAUUGCAACAUACCAUCUUCUUCACCACUUGGCUUAGGCAGCCAUGGAAAUGGAGAAAACCAACCAUGCAACUCUUGGCCAGCAGUUGCAAAGAAAUUGGUUAGUAAUCUCUUUUCUUGGUGUGUUAAUUCCUUUGAAUACCUUUGUUAAUUAACCAUUAAUGUUUAAGAAGGAGGUGUGACCAGUAGCUUUGGAAGUUUAUUUUAGUUACUGAAUGUGCUAAGUAUGAACGGAAACCAGAAUCGGAUUAUUAGUGCUGUCGUGUUAGUGUUUGGGCUAUUUUUAUUAAAGCAAACUGCGGGACAUUUUGUUUUGGCGUUAUGCAUAUGUUAAUGUGAUUAUGGGUAUAUACUCCAAAGGAUGAAUACGAUAAGGUAGAUGUGUUGCAAAUUAUAAAACAAGUUCUCGCUCGGUGUGUCGUUGCUUCAUUACUAUGGUUGCCGAGACGGAACUGUUUUGGGGGGGGGGCGCUUUUUAAUAUGAUUCGUUGGGAUAUAUGUGUUAUUGGUAUUGCUAUGGAUAAUUUGGGUUGUUGUCGGAUUGGGACGAAGUAAGGAAAAUAGGGGCAGUGCUACAGGAUUUUCGUUAGAUUAUUAGCUCACUUACAAUAGGUAGUAAAGCGCGACGUUUAUCUAAUUGCGGCACGAUUGUUGCUUGUUAUAGAUUAAUAGCUUGAGCAGUAAAUAUUUGACGUGCGGCUCGACUAUACUGUAUGUAACACUAUCCUUUCUUUCUUUAUUUGGCAUGACUUUUAAGAAUGAGCGAAUAAUGGACAGGUUUAAUACUUACUUCUAGAUCGUCUAGGUGACAUAUAUUCUUGGUUCCACAACUAUUCCUCUAUAUAUCGGCCAUGUCUAAGGCUAUGAUGAUUUCUUAUAUCUAUGGUAGUGCUUCUUAGAGUCAUUGAGAUUUUACGUUUCCAUAUCGUAUUAAAGGUUCAUAAUCUUGAUAAAACGUUAAUUUUUGGUAAUACUCCUUGCUGGUUCACGUUGAUUGUUCUAUUGAGUUAUAAGAAAUGAUUUGUCAUUUAUCAUUUCACCGAAUCCCGGGCCUGGUAAUGUUCGUGCGGAGUUUCUUGCAUAUGUCACCGAGUCCCUCACUAGAGGGCCGGGUAUGUAUAUUAUAUAUAUGAUUGGUGAUGAGGAUGCUUAUGAUGAUGAUGAUGACGAAGAUGACGUGAUGAUUAUUUUGCCAAGUCCCUUACUAGGGAAUCUGGGCACCUUAUAUGUUAAAGAUAUGCAUGAUUUUCACUUAAAAGGGUGCAUGUGUAGCGAUAUUUUGUUUCGACUUGCCAUAUUGGUAUCCUGUCAUCUUUACCUUAUGCUUUACAUAAUUAGUACAUUGUCCGUACUGACCCCCUUUUCUUGGGGGGCUGCGUUUCAUGCCCGCAGGUGUAGACGCACAGUUCGGUGAUCCUCCUGCCUAGGAUAUCUACUCUGCUGAUUGGGAGAGCUCCACUGUUCCGGAGCCCAGUCAUUUUGGUACAUAACUUUUGUGUAGUCUUUUGCUCGUCUAUGGGUAUGGCGGGGCCCUGUUCCAUCGAGUUUCACUAAUGUACUCUUAGAGUUCUUUGGACAUUAUGUGGGUUGUAUAUAUAUAUUUUGGAUAAUGGUGUGGACAUGGUUUGUUUGGGAUGUCUGCUUGUACAGGGGCAGCCCUUUCGGCUGCGUACAUCAUUGUGUAUUAUGUAGUGGCAGCCUUGUCGGCUUACGUAUGUUAUUAUGCUUGGAAUAGUGGCGGCCUUGUCGGCUCGCGUAUGCUGUUAUGGUUGAAUGAUUAUGACUCCUUAUGAGACAGGUCCUCUUAUAUAUAUAUGACGUUGGGGUUGGCUUGAUUUGAUUAAAUUCCAUAUUGUCUUAGUUUUAGUUGGUUAUACUUAGCAGGUUUGUAUGUGGGUGUCCAAAACGGGCACUACUCACGGCCCAUCGGGUUUGGUCGUGACAAAGAGUGGUAUCACAGCGGUUCUUCCUCGGAAGUGCCUACAGACCGUGUCUAGUAGAGUCUUGUUUAUCGAUGUGUUGUGCACCACAUCUAUAAACAGGAAGCUACAGGACAUUUAGGAUGUCAUUCUUUCUUCUUAUUCUAGAUCGUGCGAUAGAGCUAUAUAAAUAGGAUAAUCCCUCUCGAACGAAUCCGUGUGUUUUCAGCUAUGCCUCCAAAGAAAGCGACAGCCGCCCAGAACGGAAAAUCGGUAGCAGAAGGUACUAGUCAGACCCGGAGAGUUACUAGGGCCCGUGCCCAGUCUAUGCAUGGUAUUAUGCUCCAGUCGGAGAGCUCUGCUACACCACCACUGCCAGCGGAGCUUAGACCAGCAGCAGCUCCAGUUCGGGGGACACCACCAGCCCCGAGGCCCCAACACCUGAACCUCCAGCUCCUCAAUCAGGGGCGGAGGAUAGGGCCAUGAGAGAUGCAGUUCAAUUGCUGACUAGAUUAGUGGCAGAUCAGGCUCGCAGGCAUGGACUAGGAGUUGAUCAUGCGGACAGAUCUGAUAGCUUAAGGGCUCCUGACUUCUUAAGUUGUAAUCCUCCAGAGUUCUUUGGGUCAAGGCCCCAGGAUGAUCCGCAAGAGUUUAUUCGUCAGAUGCAGCGUACAUUGAGGAUAAUCAAGGCUUCAGAGACCGAGUCUGUUGAGUUUGCUACGUAUCAUUUGCAGGAUGUAGCUAUUAAUUGGUAUGAGUCUUGGGAGUUAUCUAGGGGUGAGGGUGCUCCUCCAGCGGUAUGGGAUGAAUUUGUGGAGGCUUUCCAGGGCCACUUCCUGCCUCCAGAGAUGAAGCGAGCUAGAGUCGAUAGAUUCAUGCGUUUGAAGCAAAAUGGCAGGAGCAUUCGAGAGUAUAGCCUCGAGUUUGAUUCAUUGGCUAGGCAUGCGCCUACUAUUGUGGCUGAUAUGGCAGACAGGGUACAUCGUUAUGUGAUGGGAUUGGAUCGUUAUAUGAUUGAUGGUUGUAUGGCAGUGACUCUUCAGCCAGGUAUGGAUAUUGCUCGGGUGCAGGCAUAUGCACAGGGUGUAGAGGAUCGGCACCGGGAACGUCAGCUAGAUAGAGAUUAUAAUAGAGGCCAGCAUAAGAGGGCUAGAUCAGCAGGUUAUCCUGAGGAGUUUCGAAGCGGGCAGUCUCAGCAGCAUGUUAGAUUUUCUUCCCAGCCAGCACAUAGUACACCCCCACGUUUCAUGAGUAGGGGGUUCGAUCGUACGGGAUAUUCGGAAGCUGGUCAGAGCUCUAGGGCAUCCGGGUCACAGAUGGGCAGGGGUUUGAGCCAGUCGAGGCCACCUUUGCCUCAGUGUUCUUGUUGUGGUAGAUCCCAUCCUAGGGAAUGUCGUUGGGCAAAAGGUGCAUGAUUUUCUUGCGGCCGUCAGGGCCAUACUAUGAGAGAGUGUCACCUUAGAGGUAGUGCAGGUGGUAUGGCACUGUCUACCGAGUCUGUUACUGGUUCAUCUUCUUCUGUGGCUAUGCGCCCUACGGGGCAGGGUAUUCAGGCGCCAGCAGGCCGUGGUAAAGGACGUGGUGGAGUUUCCAGUUCUAGCGGUCCCUCAAACCGUAUAUAUGCUUUGACUAAUAGGCAGGAUCAGGAGGCGUCACCUAAUGUGAUCACAGGCAUAUUAUUACUAUUCUCUCGAAGUGUGUAUGCAUUGCCCAGGUUCCACCUUAUCAUAUAUAUCUCCCUUUGUUGCUAGUAGGAUCGGAAUAGAGUCUGAGUUGAUAGAACCAUUUGAGGUAGCUACACCUGUAGGAGAUUUUGUCAUAUCUACGCGAGUAUAUAGGAAUUGUUCAGUAGUUAUAUAUAGUCGUCGUACCAUAGCAGAUCUGAUUGAGUUAAAUAUGAUUGAGUUUGAUAUUAUCAUGGGCAUGGAUUGGUUGGCUUCUUGUUAUGCUAAUGUUGAUUGCAGAGGAAAGAUAGUUCGAUUUCAAUUUCUAGGGGAACCGAUUAUAGAGUGAAAGGGAAGUACAGUAUCGCCGAAAGGUAAGUUCAUUUCAUACCUAAGGCCGGGAAGAUGGUUAGAAAAGGCAAUGUUUACCAUCUGAUUCGGGUGCAUGACAUAAAGGAAGAGGCACCGACUCUUCAAUCAAUCCCGGUAGUUAAUGAAAUUCUCGAUGUAUUCCCCGAGGAACUUCCAGGCCUUCCUCCAGAAUGGGAGAUAGAGUUUACUAUAGAUGUACUGCCAGAUACCCAGCCUAUAUCUAUACCUCCUUAUAGAAUGGCACCUGUUGAGUUGAAAGAAUUGAAAGAGCAAUUGAGGAUUUGCUAGAAAAGGGCUUCAUCAUGCCUAGUACGUCACCUUGGGGAGCACCGUACUGUUUGUGAGGAAGAAAGAUGGGUCGCUGCGGAUGUGCAUUGAUUAUAGGCAGUUGAACAAAGUAACAAUAAAGAACAGGUAUCCCCUCCAAAGGAUUGACGAUCUAUUUGACCAGUUGCAGGGUGCAAAGUGUUUUCAAUGAUAGACUUGUGGUCAGGUUAUCAUCAGGUGCGGGUAAGGGAGGCAGAUAUUCCAAAGAUGGCAUUCCGGACCCGAUACAGGCAUUAUGAGCUUUGAGUGCUGUCUUUUGGGCUGACUAAUGCUCCAGCGGUGUUUAUGCAUUUCAUGAAUCGAGUAUUUAAACAUUCCUUGAUAUGUUUGUUAUUGUAUUUAUAGACGAUAUUCUGGUCUAUUCACGUUCAGAAGAGGAGCAUGCAGACCAUUUAAGGACGGUACUAAGGGUGCUUCAGCACCAGAAGUUGUAUGCUAAAUUUUCUAAGUGCGAGUUCUGGUUGACUUCAGUGGCAUUCUUGGGGCAUAUUAUUGGAGCUGAUGGUAUUCGGGUAGACACGUAGAAGAUUGAGGCGGUAAAGACUUGGCCCAGAGCUACGACACCUACUGAGGUAUCUGGGGUUAGCAUGAUAUUAUAGGAAAUUCGUAGAAAAGCUUGCCUCAAUUUCAGUGCCUUUGACAAGGCUAACUCAAAAGGCAGCCAAGUUCCAGUGGACUGAUGCUUGUGAGCAAGGCUUCAAGCUAUUGAAAGACAAAUUGACUAGGGCUCCAAUCCUAACUCUUCCGGAGGGACCAGACGGCUAUGUUAUUUAUUGUGAUGCUUUGGGUGUUGGGCUAGGAUGUGUAUUGAUGCAGCAUGGCAAAGUUAUAGCCUAUGCCUCACGACAGCUUUGGAAGCAUGAAAAGAACUAUCCUACUCACGUUCUGGAGAUAGUGGUCGUGGUUCAUGCCUUGAAGAUGUGGAGUCAUUAUUUAUAUGGUGUCCAUGUGGACAUCUAUACAGAUCAUAAGUGUCUCCAAUAUAUCUUUAAACAGAAGGAGCUGAACUUACGACAGAGGCGGUGGUGAGAGUUGCUAAAGGAUUAUGAUGUUGAUAUUUUAUAUCAUCCAGGGAAAGCGAAUAUUGUAGCAGAUGCUCUUAGCCGUAAGUCCAUGGGUAGCUUGACAGAUGUACAACCACAAAGGAGGGAUAUGGUUCGGGAGAUUCAGCGGCUAUCCAGCCUUGGAGUCCGUUUGGAUAACUAAGAAGAUAGUGGAGUUUCUAUUUGAGAGGUUGCUGAGUCCUCAAUCAUAGAUGAGGUAAAGAGACACCAAUACAAGGACCAUAUUCUGGCACAGUAUAGAGAUGCAGCUCUUUAAAAGGAAAAGACCCCAUUUAAGGUUACACCUGACGGAGUGUUACGAUAUGAAGGCAGAUUGUGUGUACCCGAUAUUGCGGGGCUACGACGGCAGGUUAUGGGAGAGGCACACUCUGUCUAUUAUUCUAUUCACCCAGGGUCAAGAAAAUGUAUCAUGACCUCAAAUGCUUAUAUUGGUGGGAUGGCAUAAAAAAGACAUAGCGGAGUUUGUUGCUCAGUGCCCGAAUUGUCAACAAGUCAAGAUCGAACAUCAAAAGCCUGGUGGAUUAUUACAGGAGAUAGAGAUCCCGACUUGGAAAUGGGAGAUGAUUAAUAUGGACUUCAUUACAGGCUUACCUCGCACUCAACGGAAGUAUGACUCUAUAUGGGUUAUUGUAGAUAGGCUGACGAAAUCGGCCCAUUUUCUUCCAGUCAGGACUACUUAUUCGGCUGAAGAUUAUGCGAGGUUAUAUGUCAGGGAGAUAGUGAGACUUCAUGGGGUUCCCACGUCCAUUAUAUCAGACAGAGGAGCUCAAUUUACAGCAAACUUUUGGAGAUCGUUUCAGAAGGGAUUGGGGACACAGGUGAACCUUAGCACAACAUUUCACCCUCAGACUGAUGGGCAGGCUGAGCGUACUAUUCAGACAUUAGAAGAUAUGUUGCGGGCCUGUAUUAUUGACUUCAAAGGUAGCUGGGAUGACCACUUGCCGCUCAUUGAGUUUGCCUAUAAUAAUAGCUACCAUUCUAGUAUCCAGAUGGCACCGUACGAGGCCUUAUAUGGGAGGAAGUGCAGAUCACCUAUUGGUUGGUUUGAUGUUGGCGAGACUAAGUUAAUAGGCCCGGAUGUGAUUCAGCAAGCUGUUGACAAGGUGAAGCUUAUUCAAGAAAGAUUAUUAGCAGCCCAGAGUCGACAGAAGUCAUAUGCAGAUAAUCGGCGUCGAGAUUUGGAGUUUCAGAUUGGGACUGGGUAUUCCUGAAGGUAUCACCCAUGAGAGGUGUAAUGAGAUUCGGCAGGAAGGGGAAGCUCAGUCCGAGAUACAUUGGGCCUUAUCAGAUUGUUCGUAGGAUAGGCAAGGUUGCCUAUGAGUUGAAUCUACCAUCUGAUUUGGAGGCGGUACAUCCAGUCUUCCAUGUAUCGAUGCUACGUAAAUGUAUUGGUGAUCCUUCUAGAGUAUUCCCCGUAGAUGAUGUUCAGGUAACAAAGGAGUUGUCAUAUAAGGAGAAACCCGUAGCUAUACUUGAUCGCCAGGUUAGAAGGUUACGUACAAGGAUGUGGCUUCCGUCAAAGUGUUGUGGCAAAAUAAUAAUAGGGAGGAGAUGACUUGGGAAGCGGAAGACGAAAUGAAGAAUAAGUAUCCUUACUUGUUCCCCGUACCUGCAGGUAAUUCAAUUCCUAGCUUGACUAAAUUGAUUAUAAACGAGAUUAUGUAGUAAGUUAUGACUCUGUGAGGCAUCUGUAAGUUACGGAAUGCAGGUUGAUAGGUAUAACUGUUAGAGAGACCUCGCUGGAAUUUGUUUUUGUAAGACGCUAACUUAAAAUUCGAGGAUAAAUGUUCCUAGGGGGGAAGGAUGUUAUGCCUCGUAUUUUUUUUAUACGUAGUGCGCGUCAUGAUCUAGUAGACGUAAGUCCGGGGAAUGAGAUUUUAUUUUAAGUUCCAAGUGAUUAUAGAAAUAUUAGGCAAGGAUGUUAAUUCCAAAUGUGAUAUUAAGUAUGAUUUGGCUAAUGUAAGUGCCAUUAACUUUAAGUGAGGGAUUAAUUAGUGGAUGAUUAGGAUUAAUUUAAUUUAGUGGGCCCCAACACUUAUAUUUAGUGGCUGAUUAGGAUUAAUUUAAUCCAGUGGGCCCACCACUUAUAAUUAGUGGCUGAUUAGGAUUAAUUUAAUCCAGUGGGCCCACCACUCAAGGCAAAAAUUAAAGAGGGAUCAGAUUGGGAGCUGGCCUUAGUGGACACGUUUAGAGGGGGGCUGCCUCAACUCAUAUUAUAAAUGAGGUGGAGAAAUCCACUCCAUACUAAAUAAAUUGCUGCAUAUCAUCUUCUUCACCACUUGGCUUAGGCAGCCAUGGAAAUGGAGAAACCAACCCUGCAACUCUUGGCCAGCAGCUGCAAAUAAUUUGGUGAGUAAUCUCCUUGCUUGGUGUGUUAAUUCUUUAGAAUACCUUGUUAAUUAUCCAUUAAUAUUAAGAAGGGGGCGUGACCAGUAGCAUAGGAAGUUUGUUUUAGUUAUUGAAUGUGCUAAGUAUGAAUGGAAACCAUAAUCGGAUUAUUAGUGGUGUCGUGUUGGUGCUUGGGCUGUUUUGAUUAAAGCAAACUGUGGGAAAAUUCUGUUUGGUGUUGUAUAUGUUAAAUGUGAUUAUGAGUAUAUACUCCAAGGGAUGAAUACGAUAAGGUAGAUGUGUUGCGAAUUAUAAAACGAGUUAUCGCUCGGUGUGUCGUUGCUUCGCUGCUAUGGUUGCCGAGACGGAACUGUUUUGGGAGGGGGCUGUUUAAUAUGAUUUGUUGGGUUAUAUGUGUUAUUGGUAUUGUUGUGGAUAAUUUGGGUUGUUGUCGGAUUGGGACGAAGUAAGGAAAUAGGGGAAGUGCUGUCGGAUUUUCGUUAGAUUAUUAGCUAGCUUACAAGAAAGUAAAGCGCGAUGUUUAUCUAAUUGCGGCACGAUUGUUGCUUGUUAUAGAUUAAUAGCUUGAGCAGUAAAUAUUGGACGUGCGGCUCGAUUAUACGGUAUGUAAUGCUGUCCCUUCUUUCUUUGUUUGGCAUGACUUUUUAAAAUAAGCGAAUAACGGACAGGUUUGAUACUUACCUCUAGAGCGUCUAGGUGACGUAUAUUCUUGCUUCCACAAUUAUUCCUCUAUAUAUCGGCUAUGUCUAAGGCUAUGAUGAUCUCUAAUAUCUAUGGUAGUGCUUCUUAGAGUCAUUGAGAUUUUACGUUUCCAUAUCGUAUUAAAGGUUAAUAAUCUUGAUAAAACAUUAAUCUUUGGUAAUACUCCUUGCUGGUUCACGUUGAUUGUUCUAUUGAGUUAUAAGAAAUGAUUUUAAUUGCAUAUGGUUGCUCAUAAUAUUCUGCUCGUGCAUAGAGUCAUUUAUCAUUUCACCGAGUCCCGGGCCGGGUAAUGUUCGUGCGGAGUUUCUUGCAUAUGUCACUGAGUUCCUCACUAGAGGGCCGGGUAUGUAUAUUAUAUAUAUGAUUGGUGAUGAGGAUGGUUAUGAUGAUGAUGAUGACGAAGAUGACGUGAUGAUUAUUUUGCCGAGUCCCUUACUAGGGAAGCUCGGCACCUUAUAUGUUAAAGAUAUGCAUGAUUUUCACUUAAAAGGGUACAUGUGUAGCGAUAUUUUGUUUCGACUUGCCAUAUUGGUAUCCUGUCAUCUUUACCUUAUGCUUUACAUACUCAGUACAUUGUCCGUACUGACCCCCCUUUCCUCGGGGGGCUGCGUUUCAUGCCCGCAGGUGUAGACGCACAGUUCGGUGAUCCUCCCGCCUAGGAUAUCUACUCUGCUGAUUGGGAGAGCUCCACUGUUCCGGAGCCCAGUCGUUUUGGUACAUAACUUUUGUGUAGUCUUUUGCUCGUCUAUGGGUAUGGCGGGGCCCUGUCCCGUCGAGUUUCACUAAUGUACUCUUAGAGGUCUGUGGACAUUAUGUGGGUUUUAUAUAUAUGUUUUGGAUAAUGGUCUGGACAUGGUUUGUUUGGGAUGUCCGCUUGUACAGGGCAGCCUUGUCGGCUGCGUACAUCAUUGUGUAUUGUGUAGUGGCAGCCUUGUCGGCUUACGUAUGUUAUUAUGCUUUGAAUAGUGGCGGCCUUGUCGGCUCGCGUAUGCUGUUAUGGUUGAAUGGUUAUGACUCCUUAUGAGACAGGUCCUCUUAUAUAUAUAUGACGUUGGGGUUGGCUUGAUUUGAUUAAAUUCCAUAUUGUCUUAGUUUCAGUUGGUUAUACUUAGCACGUUUGUUUGUGGGUGUCCAAAACGGGCACUAGUCACGGCCCAUCGGGUUGGGUCGUGACAAAGAGUGGUAUCUGAGCGGUUCUUCCUCGGAAGUGUCUACAGACCGUGUCUAGUAGAGUCUUGUUUAUCGAUGUGUUGUGCACCGCAUCUAUAAACAGGAAGCUACAGGACAUUUAGGAUGUCAUUCUUUCUUCUUAUUCUAGAUCGUGCGAUAGAGCUAUAUCAACAGGAUAAUCCCUCUCUAACGAAUCCGUGUGUUUUCAGCUAUGCCUCCAAAGAAAGCGACAGCCGCCCAGAACGGAAAAUCGGUAGCAGAAGGUACUAGUCAGACUCGGAGAGUUACUAGGGCCCGUGCCCAGUCUAUGCAUGGUAUUAUGCUCCAGUCAGAGAGCUCUGCUACGCCGCCACCGCCAGCGGAGCUUAGAUCAGCAGCAGCUCCAGUUCGGGGGACACCACCAGCCCCCGAAGCCCCAACACCUGAACCUCCAGCUCCUCAGUUAGGGGCGGAGGAUAGGGCCAUGAGAGAUGCAGUUCAAUUGCUGACUAGAUUAGUGGCAGAUCAGGCUCGCAGGCAUGGACUAGGAGUUGAUCAUGCGGACAGAUCUGAUAGCUUAAGGGCUCGUGACUUAUUAAGUUGUAAUCCUCCAGAGUUCUUUGGGUCAAGGCCCCAGGAUGAUCCGCAAGAGUUUAUUCGUCAGAUGCAGCGUACAUUGAGGAUAAUCAAGGCUUCGGAGACCGAGUCUUUUGAGUUGGCUACGUAUCGUUUGCGGGAUGUAGCUAUUAAUUGGUAUGACUCUUGGGAGUUAUCUAGGGGUGAGGGUGCUCCUCCAGCGGUAUGGGAUGAAUUUGUGGAGGCUUUCCAGGGCCAGUUCCUGCCUCCAGAGAUGAAGAGAGCUAGAGUCGAUAGAUUCAUGCGUUUGAAGCAAAUGACAGGAGCAUUCGAGAGUAUAGCCUCGAGUUUGAUUCAUUGGCUAGGCAUGCGCCUACUAUUGUGGCUGAUGAGUUUCGAAGCGGGCAGUCUAAGCAGCAUGUUAGAUUUUCUUCCCAGCCAGCACAGAGUGCACCCCCACGUUUCAUGGGUAGGGGUUCGAUCGUAUGGGAUAUUCGGAAGUUGGUCAGAGCUCUAGGGCGUCCGGGUCACAGAAGGGCAGGGGUUUUAGCCAGUCGAGGCCACCUUUGCCUCGGUGUUCUCGUUGUGGUAAGUCCCAUCCUAGGGAAUGUCGUUGGGCAAAAGGUGCGUGUUUUUCUUGCGGCCAUCAGGGCCAUACUAUGAGGGAGUGUCACCUUAGAAGUUUUGUAGGUGGAAUGGCACAGCCUACAGGGUCCGUCGCUGGUUCAUCUUCUUCUGUGGCUAUGCGCCCAACGGGGCAGGGUAUUCAGGCGCCAACAGGCUGUGGUAAAGGACGUGGUGGAGUUUCCAGUUCUAGCGGUCCCUCAAACCGUAUAUAUGCUUUGACUAAUAGGCAAGAUCAGGAGGCGUCACCUAAUGUGAUCACAGGUAUAUUACCACUAUUCUCUCGAAGUGUGUAUGCAUUGAUAGACCCAGGUUCCACCUUAUCAUAUAUAUCUCCCUUUGUUACUAGUAGGAUCGGAAUAGAGUCUGAGUUGAUAGAACAUUUGAGGUAGCUACACCUGUAGGAGAUUGUGUCAUAUCUACGCGAGUAUAUAGGAAUUGUUUAGUAGUUAUAUAUAGUCGUAGUACCAUAGCAGAUCUGAUUGAGUUAAAUAUGAUUGAGUUUGAUAUUAUCAUGGGCAUGGAUUGGUUAGCUUCUUGUUAUGCUAAUGUUGAUUGUAGAGGAAAGAUAGUUCGAUUUCAAUUUCUAGGGGAACCGAUUAUAGAGGGAAAGGGAAGUACAGUAUCGCCGAAAGGUAAGUUCAUUUCAUACCUCAAGGCCAGGAAGAUGGUUAGAAAAGGCAAUAUUUACCAUCUGAUUCGGGUGCAUGACAUAAAGGAAGAGGCACCGACUCUUCAAUCAAUCCCGGUAGUUAAUGAAAUUCCCGAUGUAUUCCCCGAGAAACUUCCAGGCCUUCCUCCAGAACUGGAGAUAGAGUUUACUAUAGAUGUACUUCCAGAUAGCCAGCCUAUAUCUAUACCUCCUUAUAGAAUGGCACCUGCUGAGUUGAAAGAAUUGAAAGAGCAAUUGAAGGAUUUUCUAGAAAAGGGCUUCAUCAGGCCUAGUACGUCACCUUGGGGAGCACCGGUACUGUUUGUGAGGAAGAAAGAUGGGUCGUUGCGGAUGUGCAUUGAUUAUAGGCAGUUAAACAAAGUAACAAUAAAACUAAGGUAUCCCCUCCAAAGGAUUGACGAUCUAUUUGACCAGUUGCAGGGGGCAAAGUGUUUUUCAAUGAUAGACUUGCGGUCAGGUUAUCAUCAGGUGCGGGUAAGGGAGGCAGAUAUUCCAAAGACGGCAUUCUGGACCCGAUAUGGGCAUUAUGAGUUUAGAGUGCUGUCUUUUGGGCUGACUAAUGCUCCAGCGGUGUUCAUGGGUUUACUGAAUCGAGUAUUUAAACCAUUCCUUGAUUUGUUUGUUAUUGUAUUUAUAGACGAUAUUCUGGUCUAUUCACGUUCAGAAGAGGUGCAUGCAGACCAUUUAAGAACGGUACUUAGGGUGCUUCAGCACCAUAAGUUGUAUGCUAAAUUUUCUAAGUGCGAGUUCUGGUUGACUUCAGUGGCAUUCUUGGGGCAUAUUAUUGGAGCUGAUGGUAUUCGGGUAGACACGAAGAAGAUUGAGGCGGUAAAGACUCGGCCCAGACCUACGACACCUACUGAGGUACGUAGCUUUCUGGGGUUUGCAGGAUAUUACAGAAGAUUCUUAGAAAAGUUUUUCCUCAAUUUCAGCGCCUUUUACAAGGCUAACUCAAAAGGCUGCCAAGUUCAAGUGGACUGAUGCUUGUGAGCAAAGCUUCCAGCUAUUGAAAGACAAAUUGACUACGGCUCCAAUCAUAACUCUUCCGGAGGGACCAGACGGCUAUGUUAUUUAUUGUGAUGCUUUGGGUGUUGGGCUAGGAUGUGUAUUGAUGCAGCAUGGCAAAGUUAUAGCCUAUGCCUCACGACAGCUUUGGAAGCAUGAAAAGAACUAUCGUACUCACGAUCUGGAGUUAGCGGUCGUUGUUCAUGCCUUGAAAAUAUGGAGAAAUUAUUUAUAUAGCGUCCAUGUGGACAUUUAUACAGAUCAUAAGAGUCUCCAAUAUAUCUUUAAACAGAAGGAGCUGAACUUACGACAGAGGUGGUGGUUAGAGUUGCUAAAGGAUUAUGAUGUUGAUAUUUUAUAUCAUCCAGGGAAAGAGAAUGUUGUAGCAGAUGCUCUUAGCCAUAAGUCCAUGGGUAGCUUGACAGAUGUACAACCAGAAAGGAGGGAUAUGGUUCGGGAGAUUCAACGGCUAUCCAGCCUUGGAGUCCGUCUAGCUAAUUUGGAAGAUAGUGGAGUUUCUAUUCGAGAGGUUGCCGAGUCCUCAAUCAUAGGUGAGGUAAAGAGAUAUCAAUACAAGGACCCUAUUCUGGCACAGUAUGGAGAUGCAGCUCUUCAAAAGGAAAAGACCCUAUUUAAGGUUACACCUGACGGAGUGUUACGAUAUAAAGGCAGAUUGUGUGUACCCGAUACAGCGGGGCUACGACGGCAGGUUAUGGGAAAGGCACACUCUGCACGUUAUUCUAUUCACCCAGGGUCAACAAAAAUGUAUCAUGACCUCAGAUGCUUAUAUUGGUGGGAUGGCAUGAAAAAGGACAUAGCGGAGUUUGUUGCUUAGUACCCAAAUUGUCAAUAAGUCAAGAUCGAACAUCAAAAGUCUGGUGGAUUAUUACAUGAGAUAGAGAUCCCGACUUGAAAAUGGGAGAUGAUUAAUAUGGACUUCAUUACAGGCUUACCUCUGACUCAACGGAAGUAUGACUCUAUAUGGGUUAUUGUAGAUAGGCUGACGAAAUCGGCCAAUUUUCUUCCAGUCAGGACUACUUAUUCGGCUGAAGAUUAUGCGAGGUUAUAUGUCAGGGAGAUAGUGAGACUUCAUGGGGUUCCCACGUCCAUUAUAUCAGACAGAGGAGCUCAAUUUAUAGCCAACUUUUGGAGAUCGUUUCAGAAGGGAUUGGGGACACGGGUAAACCUUAGCACAGCUUUUCACCCUCAAACUGAUGGGCAGGCUGAGCGUACUAUUCAGACACUAGAAGAUAUGUUGCGGUCCUGUAUUAUUGACUUCAAAGGUAGCUGGGAUGACCACUUGCCGCUCAUUGAGUUUGCCUAUAAUAAUAGCUACCAUUCUAGUAUCCAGAUGGCACUGUACGAGGCCUUAUAUGGGAGGAAGUUCAGAUCACCUAUUGGUUGGUUUGAUGUUAGCAAGACUAAGUUAUUAGGCUCGGAUAUGAUUCAGCAAGGUGUUGACAAGGUGAAGCUUAUUCAAGAAAGAUUAUUAGCAGCCCAGAGUCGACAGAAGUCAUAUGCAGAUAAUCGGCGUCGAGAUUUGGAGUUUCAGAUUAAUGACUAGGUAUUCCUGAAGGUAUCACCCAUGAGGGGUGUGAUGAGAUUUGGCAGGAAGGGGAAGCUCAGUCCGUAGGAUAGGAAAGGUUGCCUAUGAGUUAGAUCUACCAUCUGAUUUGGAGGCGGUACAUCCAGUCUUCCAUGUAUUGAUGCUACAUAAAUGUAUUGGUGAUCCUUCUAGAAUAUUCCCCGUAGAUGAUAUUCAGUUAACAGAGGAGUUGUCAUAUGAGGAGAAACCCGUGGCUAUACUUGAUCGUCAGGUUAGAAGGUUACGUACUAAGGAUGUGGUUUCCGUCAAAGUGUUGUGGCAAAAUAACAAUAGGGAUGAGAUGACUUGGAAAGCAGAAGACGAAAUGAAGAAUAAGUAUCCUUACUUGUUCCCCGUACCUGUAGGUAAUUCAAUUCCUAGCUUGACUAUAUUGAUAAAUAAUGAGAUUAUGUAGCUGUGAGGCAUCUGUAAGUUACGGAAUGCUGGUUGAUAGGUAUAACUUUUAGAGAGACCUCGCUGGAAUAUGUUUUUGCAAGACGCUAACUUAACAUUCGAGGACGAAUGUUCCUAAGGGGGGAAGGAUGUUAUGCCUCGUUUUUUUAUAUACGUAGUGUGCAUCGUGAUCUAGUAGACGUAAGUCCCGGGAAUGAGAUUUUAUUUUAAGUUCCAAGUGAUUAAAGAAAUAUAAGGCAAGGAUGUUAUUUCCAAAUGUGAUAUUAAAUAUGAGUUGGCUAAUGUAAGUGUCAUUAACUUUAAGUGAGGGAUUAAUUAAAGGCUAAUUUGGAUUGAUUUAAUCAAAUAGGCCCCACCACUCAUAAUUGGUGGCUGACUAGAAUUAAUUUAAUCCAGUGGGCCCCACCACUCAAGGCAAAAAUUAUAAAGGGAUCAAUUGUGAGCUGGCCUUAGUGGACAGGUGUAGAGGGGGGCUGCCUCCACUUCAUACUAUUAAAUGAGGUGGAGAAAUCCACUCCAUGCUAAAUAAAUUGGUGAAAUGCAUUGCUGCAUAUCAUCUUCUUCUUCACCACUUGUCUUAGGCAGCCAUUGAAAUGGAGAAACCAACCCUGCAACUCUUGGCCAGCAGCUGUAAAUAAUUUGGUUAGUAAUCUCCUUGUUUGGUGUGUCAGUUCUUUAAAAUACCUUUGUUAAUUAUCCAUUAAUUUUAAGAACGGGGCGUGACCAGUAGCUUAGGAAGUUUGUUUUAGUUAUUGAAUGUGCUAGCUUUGAACGGAAACCAUAAUCGGAUUAUUAGUGGUGUUGUGUUGGUGCUUGGGUUGUUUUGAUUAAAGCAAACUGCAGGAAAAUUCUAUUUUGGCAUUAGGUAUAUGUUGAAUGUGAUUAUGAGUAUAUAGUCCAAAGGAUGAAUACGAUAAGGUAGAUGUGUUGCGAAUUAUGAAACGAGUUAUCGCUCGGUGUGUUGUUGCUUCGCUUCUAUGGUUGCUGAGACGGAACUGUUUUGGGGAGGGGGCUGUUUAAUAUGAUUCGUUGGGUUUUAUGUGUUAUUGGUAUUGCUGUGGAUAAUUUGGGUUGUUGUCGGAUUGGGACGAAGUAAGGAAACUAGGGGAAGUGAUGCCGAAUUUUCGUUAGAUUAUUAGCUAGCUUACAAGAAAGUAAAGCUAUAUGUUUAUCUAAUUGCGGCACAAUUGUUGCUUGUUAUAGAUUAAUAGCUCGAGCAGUAAAUAUUGAACGUGCGGCUCGAUUAUACGGUAUGUGACGCUGUCCCUUCUUUCUUUGUUUGGCAUGACUUUUUAAAAUAAGCGAAUAACGGACAAGUUUGAUACUUACCUCUAGAGCGUCUAGGUGACGUAUAUUCUUGCUUCCACAAUUAUUCCUCUAUAUAUCGGCUAUGUCUAAGGCUAUGAUGAUCUCUAAUAUCUAUGGUAGUGCUUCUUAGAAUCAUUGUGAUUUUAAAUUUCCAUAUUGUAUUAAAGGUUCAUAAUCUUGAUAAAACAUUAAUCUUUGGUAACACUCCUUGCUGGUUCACGUUGAUUGUUCUAUUGAGUUAUAAGAAUUGAUUUUAAUUGCAUAUGGUUUCUCAUAAUAUUCUGCUCGUGCAUAGAGUCAUUUCUCAUUUCACUGAGUCCCGGGCCGAAUAAUGUUCGUGCGGAGUUUCUUGCAUAUGUCACCGAGUUCCUCAAUAGAGGGCCGGGUAUGUAUAUUAUAUAUAUGGUUGGUGAUGAGGAUUGUUAUGAUGAUGAUGAUGACGGAGAUGACGUGAUGAUUAUUUUGCCGAGUCCCUUACUAGGGAAGCUGGGCACCUUAUAUGUUAAAGAUAUGCAUGGUUAUCACUUAAAAAGGUGCAUGUGUAGCGAUAUUUUGUUUUGACUUGCCAUAUUGGUAUCCUGUCAUCUUUACCUUAUGCUUUACAUACUCAGUACAUUGUCGGUACUGACCCCCCUUUCCUCGGGGGGCUGCGUUUCAUGCCAGCAGGUGUAGACGCACAGUUCGGUGAUCCUCCCGCCUAGGAUAUCUACUCUGCUGAUUGGGAGAGCUCCACUGUUCCGGAGCCCAGUCGUUUUGGUACAUAACUUUUGUGUAGACUUUUGCUCGUCUAUGGGUAUGGCGGGGCCCUGUCCCGUCGAGUUUCACUGAUGUACUCUUAGAGGUCUGUGGACAUUAUGUGGGUUGUAUAUAUAUGUUUUGGAUAAUGGUGUGGACAUGGAUUGUUUGGGAUGUCCGCUUGUACAGGGGCAGCCUUUUCGGCUGCGUACAUCAUUGUGUAUUGUGUAGUGGCAGCCUUGUCGGCUUACGUAUGUUAUUAUGCUUGGAAUAGUGGCAGCCUUGUCAGCUCGCGUAUGCUGUUAUGGUUGAAUGGUUAUGAUUCUUUAUGAGAAAAAUCCUCUUAUAUAUAUAUAUAUGACGUUGGGGUUGGCUUGAUUUGAUUAAAUUCCAUAUUGUCGUAGUUUCAGUUGGUUAUACUUAGCAGGUUUGUAUAUGGGUGUCCAAAACGGGCACUAGUCACGGCCCAUUGGGUUGGGUCGUGAAAUAAUCUUUUGUAAUACUCCUUGCUGGUUCACGUUGAUUGUUCUAUUGAGUUAUAAGAAAUUAUUUUAAUUUCAUAUGGUUGCUCAUAAUAUUCUGCUCGUGCAUAGAGUCAUUUAUCAUUUCACCGAGUCCCGGGCCGGGUAAUGUUCGUGCGGAGUUUCUUGCAUAUGUCACCGAGUUCCUCACUAGAGGGCCGGGUAUGUAUAUUAUAUAUAUGAUUGGUGAUGAGGAUGUUUAUGAUGAUGAUGAUGAUGACGGAGAUGAUGUGAUGAUUAUUUUGUCGAGCCCUUUACUAGGGAAGCUGGGCACCUUAUAUGUUAAAGAUAUGCAUGAUUUUCACUUAAAAGGAUACAUGUGUAGCGAUAUUUUAUUUCGACUUGCCAUAUGGUAUCCUGUCAUCUUUACCUUAUGCUUUACAUACUCAGUACAUUGUCCGUACUGACCCCCUUUACUCGG